RNAcentral lists this long non-coding RNA (63751 nucleotides) under Setaria viridis. RNAcentral describes it as "long non-coding RNA (SVIR_LNC010105)". Lineage: Eukaryota; Viridiplantae; Streptophyta; Magnoliopsida; Poales; Poaceae. The record is from RNAcentral.
UUUUUUUUUGUUUUGAGAUCGUGGCUUUCCCUAAUAUAUCAACGAAGUCUUGAGUCUCCUGCCACACCCAAUGUCCCGCGCUGCCACUAUCACGCUUCGCUUGUUGCUUGUCACCACAAGUGGGCAAACCGACGUAUAAUCGUCCCGGUAUUUCCUACAGCACUAAAGAUAUCUCAAAUCCUAAUACUACCGGUACCGGAACCGGAGAUCAUGAUGGAUCAAAUUGCAUUUGACUAUUUUCAUCGUCUUGACAAAAUUGGUCCUCGUGUGUUCUCGAUAGCGGAGCUAGGGGGCCAUGUCCCCCCCUCCCUCACCACGCAACGUAAACACCCAGCAUGACCUGUAUAUUCUGGCGUUGCUAAUUAUAGAUAGUACCUCCAACACUGUUCAAAAAACUACCGAUUAUUUUAUGAAGACCACAGUUUUAAAUACUCAGCGUCCAUAUAUAUCACGUAGGAUUUGUGAGCUGUGCAAUACGUGACCAUUUCGCACGAUUCAAGGAGCACUUGAAUAAACCACCGGCAUCCCGGCUGCGUUUUAGCCCUAUCCAAUAAAAUGAGAUUCUUGCCAGAGUUUGCUGCUCAUCCUAUGAUAAGUUUUGUAAUACAUGUACGGUUGGCCUCAACUCUCGUUAGUAAUCUCAGCAAUAUCGACCGUCUUUUGCCGCCCCUCCCCUUAGCUCUGCGCCGUGUGCUUUUGGCCGAAGCCCUAGCCAUCAUACGUCAAGAGAACAAGAAAGGAAUGUGGAAGCAACACAUACUAAUCAAAGAUUCUUGUGUUUGUGAGUGAUUGGUUAAACAGGCUAUCGUGGGCGACAAAACGUCUCGUUAGUCGUUAUAACAGGCUCCGGAUUUCUGACCGAUUAAUUGGGCCCAUCCAGGUGAACCCAUUAGUUGGGCCUUUGAUUCCGAGGAAUCUUAGUUGGAGUAAAGUUGCGGCGGGUCACAGUGGGCUCAAAGGCCGCCUCCACUUUCCUCUCAGCCCAAUAGUUAAGGAACAAAGCAUUCUCCACAAGAACGUAUCAACCACAGUUAUCUACUGCCCUCUUCUCUCCAAAAAAGCAAGUCGAUAUACCGUUUGUAGUACCAAGAUGUUCAACUUUUAGACUACUCUUAGUUCCUUAUGCAGGUUUUCAGAUGUUAGAACCUUAUUCUUUUAAAAACCAAAAAAAUACAGAAAUAGAAUCAACUGGAACGGCCAAAUUCAGAAACAGGCUCCUGACCUGCUAUAUACUGCACGCAUUCUGCCACCAGUGCAUCAAAAACCAAGCUGGCUAAUUGGUCAAACGUUAAAGGUACCUGAAGUAGCAUACGCUCUCCAAAUUACGUGUACCGUACCAGAAGAAAAGCGAUGAGUGGUUGCAACGUUUUUAUCAGCAGUUUUCACAGGGAGGCGACGAACCAGAAGUUGAAGAUCGCCGAAGCGGCCGUCAGGAACCAGGACAAGAACGCCAUCAUGACGGACAACUGGUACCUCCCGCAGAACCUCGGCGAGCACUGGGACCCGUGGAACUGGAGGAGGAGGUCGAUCACCGCGGCGCUCGAGCAGGCGGCCGCGAACGAGAGUACCGACAGCACCUGCAAGAUUUCCAGCCAAGAAAUGCCUCUUCACUGUCACAGGGUGUCUUGCGAGGAGAAGGAAGUAUACGAGAUGUGCGUACGUACCCAAUCUCCCACGACAACGAUGACCAUGACGCCGGGCACGCGGAGAGGGCACCCCACGAAGACGGAGUACACGUCGAUCAUGGCCAGCGUGCAGCUCCAGGGGAUGACCAGGCCCAUGAUCGUGACCAGGAAGCUGUCAGUUGUUUCAGAGAAUUUAGCAUAAACCACGAGAACGCUGUAUCUGAAACGGAAGUAGCAGAGAAACCAAGCAGAAAGGAGGAGGGCGGCAACACGCACCAGAAGGCGGUGUAACUGAAGAACUCGACGCCGACGGACAUGAACAGGAGGGACGCCGACGAGAAGACGGCCUGCCCGACGCGGAGGCCGAGGCUUCCAGCGCUGCCGACGGCGCCCGCGCCGGCCCCAGCCCUAUCUCCGUUCUCCAUCCCCGGACGCCGCCCUCACGCCGCCGGCUCAUCCCAUACCAUACGCGCUCGCGUUGCCAUCGGUUGUUGCUCCCUUGGGGCCGCCUCGGCUGCGCGCUCUCCUCACGCGAACGGGGAAAUGGGACGGAAUCCGGGGGGCAAAAAAAGCAGGGGACACGAUGAAAAGGCCGGGGCUUUGCGAUGGAUGGAUACGGGGAGAGAUACCGCGGCACCGCACCUGCAGCGGGAGCUGAUUCCCUUCCUUCCCCGCGGCGUCCUCUUCUUUUCUUUCUCCACCCUUUUCCUGAUCGUCAUGGUUACUGCUUUGACCUCUCUCGUCCCUUGACUCAUCAGCCAUCGCUUUCUCAGCUGACAAGUUAAACUGGCGCAAGGAAAUCCCGUUGCAACACGCUGAUCGCGACGGGGUUGUGAAGACGUGGCAGGUCCAGGUAGACACGUAACGAAGAAGCAUGGCGUCAGCCGUCAGACCAUGUCCAGCGAUUGCCACGGGUGGACGCCGGAUCGUCCUACCAGGCACCGAAGCUGCUGGAGAAACCGGCGAGUUGAUGAAGUCCAUGUACAAUUGCACUUGCACGCAUCUCGCGGCUGGUGACGAAUCGAACCUUGCAUCUCGUCCUCUGUUGCAAUUGGACUGGAAAGCAAGGGGAUAGCAGCCGGGCGAGGAGGAGGAAUGUGCCGGCCACCUUGUGUGGUCCGACGGCGACCAGCCAAGGGCAGGUAAAGGUUGAAGCAACGGACGCAGGGAAGCCAGGUGUAGACGACUAGCAACGUGGAUGCCGGAACCCUAUCGGUCCAAGAAAGUUCGCAGUAUUUGUCACUUGAAGAAGUUGAAGUACCCAGCUGCUGCCAAAGGCUAACGGGCCAACUUUAUGCAAGAUCUCACAUGCAUAUGAUGUUGAGAAACAACAUAGGAUGAUAAGGUUGAGAAGCAUCCUUUCAAUACUUGUACCAGAAGCGGAUAUUCACCACAUACUAACAAUAGGCCAACAUCUCGAUUUACAUCAAGCCACAGCCCACAGCUAAUGAUUUUAUUGGCGUUUAUGUACUCCAAAGAACCAAAUGCUGACAUCAAGCUACAACAAACAAGAUAGCGAAACUGUCCACCAACAGCGCAACUCAAACAUACAUAACGUAUCCCCUUCAGAUGAUACAAGAUCACCAGAGAGGAAACAUCUGCACAAGGAAUAAGCAGGGAAUGGAAUUGCGUGGCACGGGUACAGCAACCAGCAGUAGUGCCUACAGGAAGUUCAGCACCAGCGCCCAAACAGGGUAGAUGAAGAGCAGGAGGAUGCCGAUGCUGUUCAACACGCCAUUGCCCUUCCUGAAGGCGUUCCUGAAUCCUCCUGACGCCUUGAUGUGCUCUGAAAGAAGGUAGCAUCCAAUCACGAGGCAUAUGAAGAUGCCGAUCAAGUCGUUCCUGAAGGUGUCCGCGAAGAGGUUGGGGGCGACAACUGUGAGCAGGAUGAUUGCACCGGGCAGCUCCAACCAAUCUGGUGCACAGGAUGAAACAUUGUUGUGACAUCCAUGUAAAAAUUUAAUCACCUUCACAAAAGGGACACUAAAAGAGAAGGGAAGUAUCCAGGAAUUCUGAUAGGGUGCAAUACAUCAUAAUAAGAAAAACAAUAAAUUUUUAGCAAAAUGGUACCUGGGAAGUGGCGUGGGAAAAAGAGACGCAGAAUAACCGCAAUAAUUGCAAUCCAUUUUCCGAUCUCACCUCUGAAAAUUCAAAUGUUUAAAGAUAAGUAUUCACUUUCGUACAUCCACACAUAAUAUAAUCAUAGAUUAAUGGAGAACAUUAUCUCCUGCUUAGGGCUGUCACUGUCAGCAAACUUCCAAUCAACAAAUAACCAAUAUGAAAAGGCUCUCUACAUGCAGAACUUUUCAGUUUAUAGUCAUUCAGACUGUUAUCCUAAGAAAUCUAAAACAUUACACCAUGAAAUUGGAAGUGAUUUGAUCCUAAAAGUUCCCUACAUCUCUCAAAUUACUGAAGCAGUCUCAUUGCAGAUGGCGAUAGCAUUUAGAAUCUAGAGGAUAGGCAAUGUCACAGGGUGUAUGAGCCUAUUCACCUUAUCAGAGAAAACAGCACAUGAGGCAGGGUGAAGAAAACAUAAGGAACCAAGAGUGCUGUCAUCAUGUUGGUCUUCCAGUUUGUGCGGUCCAAUAUCAAGAGGUACCUGCAGUGGAAGAGAAAUACCUUAAUUACUAUCAGUCUCAUGUGAAACUAGCAUAUAAAAUCCUCCACUCUUGGUAUUCUACAAAGCUGUUUUUUUAAAAAAAAAGAGUAAUCAGAUGGCUCAUUAAGAGCACCGGUAAUGCUGAUCAGAAGGAAUCCAAUUCUGUUUGUUUGCAUUCAGUGAUAAACCAUAGAAAAGAGUGCAGAAAAUUGCUGGCAAAGUUGUUUUUCUAUGGUUUCUCACUCUGUCAAUUAGGCUAACAAUUGCUACACGCAGUUCCAGGAUUCAGUACAGUCUACAUACAAACAGUGACAGCAGAUAGAUAAUCAGGCUUUACGUUAUAGAACCAACUUAACACCUUAUAGGAAUUUAUAGGAUCAUAACUGGGGCGUUCAAACCAGUUUGCGUGAAACUGAAAUAAUUCAUCUUGCCCUAGCCGAUUUGGGUCGUUCUGGCACAAAGCGGUUUGAACACCCCUCAUUCAUAACUUUCUGCUUACUUUCAGACUUCAGAAGGACGUUGACCAGUGAAGAGUCAUGAUACAGCUCGCGAAAUUAAGUACAGUAACACACAAUCGCCUAACAGCUUUACUUCAAAUUAAGGUAAUUCACAAGCCAGGUCCAUCUGCAUAUAUUCAGAGGGUGGGUACCUGACAGCACAGUACUGCCAUCCCCAAGUACGAUUACACAGUAUUGCCAUCCCAAGUGGCAGUGUGGCACCAAUUUGCUCUCGAUCCUCCACAAAAGGAGAAGGAGCGAUGCUUUAUGAAACGAACCAAGCUCCGACGCAAUAACCCCAUCCCCUGAUACUCGAUUCGCAAAGCAUCAGACCGUGGACCCGCAAAAGGUAGGGGAUCAGGGAUCCCCCCCUUUUCCCAUUCGCGAAAAAGGAAGGAACCCAGAGAGAAAGGGAGCGGCGGUCCGGUGCGGAGACACUCACACUGCGGCGACGAAGGCGAGCCACUUGAGGAAGGAGGUGCCGAAGCCAAGCCCGCCGCCGAGGACGAAGGCGUGGUUGGCGAGCUUCCGCGCGGCGACGCCCAGCUCCCGCAGGUCGGCGUCGAUGAGCGCCUGCACCGCCGCCGACGCGUCCCCGGCCUCCGGGCCCGUCUUCAUCGCCAGGUACGACGCGAACCCCUUCCCCAUCUCGCCGCCCUCGCCGAUCACCGCCGACUCCCUCGCCCGCUGGAUCGGUCGCUCGCUCGCUCUGCCCGCGGUCCGCGCACGCUGGGUCGGGUUGGGCUUCGGGCGUUUGAUUUGGAAGCGGGAUCGUGGUUGGUUGGUAGUGUGGAUAUGCACAGCUAGCUGGCCGGUGGUGGUCCCGCGCGACCCGGACGGUUCCAGGCCAGCUGGGCGACGUGUACGGGACACGUGGAGCGCCCGUGGCCGGCAGGCGUUGCAUUAUUUGCAUGCAUGCUUCCCGUAUUGUUACACGCAUCCGAGUUGGUUUUGACUUUGGAUGCCUAAUUUGUAGCCACGUGGUCCACGUAACUUAGAUGUAACCUCAUUUUGAACCGAGGACGAGUAUAGUAGCACCAGUAGACAGUAGUGUAGUUCUUUGUAUAACCAUCGUGGCCAACUUGUUUGGGAUAAGAUAACUCUCGAAGCCGUGGUUUACAUGGACUCGUAACGAGGCUGCUAUGCGUGACACUGACAGGGGGGCGUAAUUAGCUAGGAACGAAAUCUUGUAUCUUCUCUUUGGUUUCUGGAUUGCCAGUUAUUCCAGUGACGCGUACGUUAAUUAUUCCAGUGACGCGUACGUUCAUCCGCUUUCAAGUGAUUGUGCCGCUUGAAGUGAGAGAUGUAGCGCAGGAGAGGAUGGUGGCGUGUCGGCAGAGUUCCACGCCCGCGCGCGAGCCCAUCGCUCGCCAGUUGGCGUGGAUGGGGGCAGUUUGACAGAGCUCCGCCAGCUCCGGCUUCGACUUCUCCACUAACACACUAUUGUAGCGUCAGAAGAGUCGGAGCAGAAGGAGUUAAAAAACCUGGCUCCACCGGCUCCUCAUUGAUCUGUGAGAGGAAGAAAGAAAGAGAGAAAAAUGGCUCGCGUGAACAGUGUUGCUACAGUGCAUGACAAUCAAAUGGUAGAAGCAGCCGAAGCCAUUUAGAAGCUCUAAGAAGGGGCCAACGUAUGUAGUUGUGGUUGUGUCGGAUUUAGUAGCCCAGCAGUUCACCAGAGAUUACCUAAGUGGUUGAUUUGUAGGCAGGGAGGAUUGCGAGACCAAGAACUCGAAGGCGAUUAUGAGAACACGAGGGUUCAAACAGGUUCGGGCCUCCGGAGAGUAAUACCCUACAUCCUGUAUUUUGCUGGAUUGUAUUGCUUUACGCUGGUGCGUGAUUUAGUCUUUGAUGGGAUGCUCUCGAGAGGUGCCCUUAGCCGCCUUAUAUAGGCUGGCGACCUAGAGUCAAGUCGGUUUGAAUCUAAUCUAGUCGGUUAAGUCAAUCUGAGUCGGAUUACAACAAGUAUCCUGUAAUAUCCGAGUUGAUUUGAAGCGUCCGACCUCCUUAACUUGUGCUCCAAAUAUCUUCACGUCCUUGGACUACAUGUUCUGAUCGGACGAACCCACUUGUCAGGGCCGGCCAGUAUCCUGAUCGGUGGGGACCGACAAGGGUCGGCCAGUAUCUUGAUCGGUGGGGACCCAUGGGGUACCCAUAUCCCUCAAGCCCUGAAGCGAUGUGUUACAUAUAACUUAUUCUGAACCCAUUCAUGAUAGUUGGUUUCACGCUGAAUCUAGCAACAUCGUAUGUUCGUAAUCUUUAUAAAUUUCUUGUUAUUGAUAGUUAAAAGUUUAAAAAGUUUGACUCCCGAAAAACCUAAAAAUAAUUAUAUUUGUGGGCAUAUGGGGUAUAAGAUUCACCAACAUUAUGCAUUUUAAACAAAUAUUUUUUAAAAAAACUUUAUGCAUCCCGUGUCACUGAAAAUGUUGGACGGCAGAGCAACAUACACACUGGCAAUAUAGGAACGGGCUCAGGUAAAAACUACUCUAAACCCUCCGGUAAAAAAAAUGUCACUUCGAAAAUCUACACAAUUUAAUUAGUACUCGAGUAAAACAAAAUUAUAGUUUUAUGAAACUACGUUUGGAGUUUGGGGACAAAUAUACUCAUAUUAUUUCUAAAUAUCUAAAAAUAGUAUAAAUAAAAACAAUAUGCAAGCCAAGACUAUAACAACUGACUUAAGACGCCCCAAACCGUCACAUAUUCUAACGGGAGUGACCGGAGUGAGUGAAUGUAGCCUAAGAUAAUGCUACGAUCUCACGUAUACGGAAAAGUUAAAAAUGAUUCCUACAAAAAUACUGAAGAAGUAGAAGCCCUAGCACGCUUUGAAGGAAUCAGGCUGGCUGCACGGUGGGCGGAUGGGAAUAUGACUGCUCCAAAAAUUCCAUGCAUCCGGUAUGCAAACCAGAUCGUGUGCAUACCUGCUCCCGCAAAGCGACGCGUGGAUGUUGCGGCCAUCCGACGGAUCCUGGCGAGGCGUGUGCCCACAAGCUAAAGAUGCAGCAGCUCAGCUCCCAACGCUAUUUCGCUCGCCGCCCGCUCUCGGCAAUCGGCUCGGCUCCCGUUCAACGCGCGCCGCUGCCGCGGGAGCGUCGGGGCCGCCAGCGGCGACGGCGGCCUGGCGGGCAUCGGGGGAAGCUACCUGGGCGCGGAGGCGGUGGCACUGCUGGCGUGCGUGACGGCCACGCUCCUGCCGCCGCCGCUGCUACUGCCCCCGCUCCUGCCGCCACCGCCACUCUUCCUGCUCGUGCCCGUCGCAUCUUCGUUGUCUUGGUCCUGCUCGUGCUUGUCCCCUCAGACGCCAGGGGCGUCGCCACGCCCGACUCCUCCUAUAGCUAGCUACCUGAUUAGAUUGGGCGGGCGGCCUUGACUCGAUGUGCUCGUCUUGUAGCUGCAGCAACACUUCAGGGGAAAAAAAUCUGUGCAGAGUAGCGUGUCCAGGUUCGUUGAGAUCUUGCUGGUGUCGACUCCCGGAAAUCCUAACAACUGCAUGAUCCUGCUCGUUUCGUGGAUAGAAGCUGCGCGAGGAACAUGACGACUAUUCGCUGGUAUGAGUUUGUGACUCCCUUGGAAGUUGAAAGUUGAAAGUUGAAAUUGAACUGAAUCUGCCCCCACAUCACCCUGGCCCAUCUGGCUGCUGGCACGUGAGCUGCCACUUGAUCGUCGCUGUGCUCUGCAUCUAGUUCAAUGAUGCAGAGCUCUCGGACUCGGAGGCGGAAUCAUCAGAGAUCUCUACGAGUUCAGGAUCCAAAUCUGAAUCGAUGUCCGGGUCGGAUUCUGGAUUGCAACUUUGCAAGAAUGAAGUCAAUUCGACGGUUGUCAGUUUGCCACCGUCGUACUUGCAGAAGCAAAUGCAGAGAGGGAAGAACCAUCGAUGAAAUCGGGACUGAUCGAAUCGAGCAGAACAAAAUCCUCUCCAUGGAUUGAUCUUUGAAGAACAAGACGAGCACAUCGAGUCCGCGUUUAAUUACAUUUACAUGACGACAAGGCCGGACGCCCAAUCUAAUCAGGUAGCUAGCUAUAGGAGGAGUAGGGCGUGGCGGUGCUGGCGGCACCCCUGGCGUCGGAGGGGACGAGCAUGAGCAGGACUUGGAUGGCGAAGAUGGCGACGGGCACGAGCAGGAAGAGCGGCGGCGACGCCGGGAGUGGCGGCAGCGGCGGCGGCAGCAUCAGCAGCGUGGCCAUCACGCACGCCAGUAGAGCCGCCACCUCCGCGCCUAGGUAGCUUCCCCGAUGCCCGCCAGGCCGCCGUCGACGCUGGCGGCCCCGACGCUCCCGCGGCAGCGGCGCGCGUUGAACGGGAGCCGAGCCGACUGCCGAGAGCGGGCGGCGGGCGAAAUAGUGUUGGGAGCCGAGCUGCUGGAUCUUUGGCUUGUGGGCACACGCCUCGCCAGGAUCCGUCGGAUGGCCGCGGCGUCCACGAGUCGCUUUGCGGGAGCAGGUAUGCAUACGAUCUGGUUUGCAUACCGGAUGCAUGGAAUUUUCUUCCCACUAUAAUUGAUAAACUCAGGAAGGGAGGCAUGGACAGGUCCCAGAUGACGCCUGUCAUCAUGGAUGCUCUACAUGAAGAUCAGCAAUUGCGUAGUUUAGUUUUCAUUAAGAUAGGGAGAGAGCAGAAUAAGGUAGCUCAUGAGCUUGCUCAGCUGGCCAUCAGGUUGAAACAGUGUUGUGUUUCAUUUCUUUCAUUUCCUGAGUAUGUUCACGCACUCUUUGUAACGAUACUCCUUGGGGGUGUUUGGAUACGAGGUACUAAACUUUAGGAGCGUCACAUCGGAUGUUCGGAUGCUAAUUAGAAGGACUAAAAAUAAGCUAAUUAUAAAACUAAUUGCAGAACCCCUAUACUAAUUCGCGAGACGAAUCUAUUAAGCCUAAUUAAUCCAUUAUUAGUAAAUGGUUACUGUAGCACCACAUUGUCAAAUCAUGGACUAAUUAGGCUUAAUAGAUUCAUCUCACGAAUUAGACUCCAUCUGUGUAAUUGGUUUUGUAAUUAAACUAUAUUUAAUACUCCUAAUUAGUAUCAAACAUCCGAUGUGAUAAGUACUAAAUUUAGGAGGGUGUAGCCAUACACCCUCUUAAUCAUAAAGCUCUCUCCGUUCGAAAAAAACAGCCUGAUUUUGCAUACAGAACCUCGUAAAUUGUCAAUGGAUCAUCAGACCUUGAGCGCUAGCAAAGGGAAUGCUGAAAUGCUUCUGGUUGUCGCUGUCGUGAGUCGCAGCGACUCGCGAGUCACAAGCGAACACGUCAGAAAGCCUCAUCUCGUGUGCCGUGUGCGUGGCUCCUCGCCCAGGCCGCGGCGCGCUCCGUUCUUCCGUUGCUUCAGCGUCACGCGGCCUGGCCGGCGCGGCGGUGAAGUCCCCCGUUCCCGAGUCCCGAGUCCCGACGCCCCUGCGGGUUCCCCUUCACGGCUCCGGCCGGUGCAUCUCGAUCGCGCGGCGAUGCAUUCGAACGCUCCAUCCCGCGCCCCCCGACGACUGACCAAGCCUGACUGAUUAAUGCUCAGCAUUAAUAACUCUUGACCUACGAUCCAAUGUGCAGUGCAGCUCUCGCGACGCUGACCGUGGCCAGCGAUCACUCCAAUGCCACGCCGACGCGCGGCGCGGAUCUCCGCGGUCAAUUCCCUUUCCCCCCUAGUUUUUGAUUCGGGAUCCGAUGAUUCGUGGCUCGUGCAGUCUUCUCCGCUUCCUCGCGCGCGAUUCCAUUUGAUUUGAUCCACGCAUCCGCUCUGCAACUCUGCACAUACAGACAGUCAUACACCGGCCAACUCCCGCGCACGCGUUGCCACUUCGUGCUCCGCCGCAUGCUUAAACUACACAGUAAUAAAGGUCUCUGCAGCCCGCCACGGCACGGCGUAGCAGUAGCAUGGAGCGGAUCGGCGCCCACGGCGGCAAGCGGCGGUGGCUGCCACGCCUCCUGUUGCUCGCCGCCCUCUCGUGGCUCCUGCUGGUCUACCUCCACGUCGCCGUGUUCCGCGCCCCGCCGGUAAUAAGCGCGCCGCCGCACACGUCCCUCGUCGCCGUCGCGUCGGACCGCGAGGACGGCCGGCGUUUCCUCCUCCGGCAAGAAGAGCAGCUCAAGAAGAUCGCGUCCUCCUCCGCCAGUGACAGCGCGCUCCCGGCGUCGUCGGCAGGGGAGGAGCGGCGCGGCAACCCCGACACCUGCCGGGGGCGGUACGUGUACAUCCACGACCUGCCGCCGCGCUUCAACGCCGACAUCAUCCGCAACUGCCGCAAGACCGAGGAUCACUGGGGGGACAUGUGCCGGUUCCUGAUGAACGCCGGCCUCGGCCGCCCGCUCGCCGACCGCGUCGACGGCGUCAUCAGGAGCGAGGCCGGGUGGUACGACACGCACCAGUUCGCGCUCGACGCCAUCUUCCACAACCGGAUGAGGCAGUACGAGUGCCUGACCACCGACCCCGCCGCGGCGUCCGCCGUGUUCGUCCCGUUCUACGCCGGCUUCGACUUCGUCCGCUACCACUGGGGCUACGACAACGCCACCAGGGACGCCGCGUCGGUGGACCUGACGCAGUGGCUCAUGGCGCGGCCCGAGUGGCGGCGCAUGGGCGGCUGCGACCACUUCCUCGUCGCCGGCCGGACGGGGUGGGACUUCCGCCGGAGCAACAACGUCGACCCGGACUGGGGCAACGACCUCCUCGUCAUGCCCGCCGGCCGGAACAUGUCGGUGCUCGUUCUCGAGUCCGCGAUGCUCCACGGCAGCGACUACCCCGUGCCGUACCCGACCUACUUCCACCCCAGGUCGGACGCCGACGUGCUCCGGUGGCAGGACAGGGUGCGGAACCGGCGCCGGGAGUGGCUCAUGGCGUUCGUCGGCGCGCCGCGGCCCGACGUCCCGAUCAACAUCCGGGUCCGGGACCACGUCAUCGCGCAGUGCAAGGCGUCGAGCUCCUGCACCAUGCUCGGGUGCGCUCGCGCCACCGGGAGCACCCAGUGCCACACCCCCGGCAACAUCAUGCGCCUGUUCCAGAAGACCGUCUUCUGCCUGCAGCCGCCCGGCGACACCUGCACGCGGCGGUCGGCGUUCGACUCCAUGGUGGCCGGGUGCAUCCCGGUCUUCUUCCACCCGGGGUCGGCGUACAAGCAAUACCGGUGGCACCUCCCCGAGGAUCACCACAGGUACUCGGUGUAUAUCCCGGACGCCGACGUCCGGCAGCGCAACGUCAGCAUCGAGGCCGUUCUCCGGGCGAUCCCGCCGGCCACGGUGGAGCGGAUGCGGGAGGAGGUGAUCAGGCUCAUCCCGAGGGUUCUGUACGCCGACCCCAGGUCGAAGCUGGAGACGCUCAAGGACGCGGUGGACAUCGCCGUCGAGGGGAUCCUCGACACGGUGGCAAGGAUCAGGAAGGGUGAGUACGUCGACAGUGGCGGGCCGGUCACUGAGGACCCUCCGAACUUGUUCUCUUCGACGGAGUCGAGAUUCCGGCCGAAACAAUCGGCGCAGGACGAUGAUCACUAGCUCUGUCGGAGUGCCCAAAAACAGAAGUGCAGCAUAGUCGAUUCAUCAGUUGAUUACGAAAAUGUAGUGAUACUAGUUGCUAAAAUUAGCUCAUCUUUCGCCUGUAUUUCAAACCUGUGAUUCAUAUUCGUAUACAAAAGAUUAAUUGUCAUCUACAGUACGAUUCUGAAGAAAUGCAGAUUUUAAUCCGCGAAUGUGCAUGCACAUUUUCGCCGUUGACAAGCUGAGCAGUUCAGUAGCUCAAAAUCGCGAGAUGCAUAUGUUGCCGGCGAGCUGCAUUAGUCCACCCACGAAAUCUCGUUGAUCUGUCAGUCCUCUCCGUAUGAUUCCACUACAAUGUGAUUUUAUUUUUGAAAUACAAUUUGUAAAUUUUUAAGCAACCAACAACAAGCUCAUGUAAAAAUACUCCCUCCAAAUAAAAGAAAAAUGACGCGUUGGAGAUUGAAACGAUCUCCGAACACUUUUUUUAGCAAUGCCAAACACAAUUUUAACUAGCCCUCAAAUACUUUAUAAAAGAUGGCAAAACUAUAGUUCUAUAAAACUACAUUUCAAGAGACAAAUCUACUCAGUAUUUCUAAAUUUAUCUAUAAUGAACACAUAAAAGCAAUACGCAACGAGAAGUUUUAUAUAAUGCCUAACUUAAGACAACUGCAAAACUAUGGCUUAAGUUGUGACCAUAGUGAACACAUGGAAAUGGAAUCCAAGACUGCUUCUGGAAUCUGACACACUCCUUUGAACAAUUGAACUCUGAGACGAGUACAGAAAACGCCUGAUUUUGUGUACAGAACCUCGUAAACUGCCAGUCGAUUUACCGGGCCUUGAGGGGCAAGCAAACCGAAUGCUCGACUAGUGUGCGUCGACGCUCCUGCGGCCGGGUUUCCUUCAGUGAAAUAGCGCCGGGCCGGGCCGGGUUUCCUUCAGUGGAAAAUUGACCUUCACGGCUCGCCGGCGCCGGCCGGGCAGCUUCACGCUUGCCGAUGGACGCGCUCGCGGCGAGAUGCGAAUAGCGGAAUAGGGGGCGUCUCGAUGGCGCGGCGAUGCGUUGCAUUUCAACGCACGAUCGCGCGCGGCCCGACGGCUGAUUAAUGCUCGCCAUUAUUACUCUUGAUCUACGUUCCGCUAAUGGGAAUUUUUAACCCCGCGUCAACCCCUCAAGCAGCGCGGCUGCUGCAAACCCAUGUGCAGACGUGCAGUGCAGGCCUCGCGACGCUGACCAUGGCCAAUGUCCAACGACUCGGUCGCUGGCCGAUCGACCAGUCCAGACGUCCAGUGCGACGCCGGCGCGCGGAUCUCCACGGCCGAUUCUCAUUCUCCUGGCGGUGGACGGCCGAAAUCGCCAUUCGUGUGCGUCAGUGUCUGUGUUACUGCUCCAUCAACUUAAUAGUAGUAUGACCUUACAUUAGAUCCGUCGGCGGAAAAUAACAGAAGCGUUCACUUCUCUUCCUCAUUUUCGAUUGGGACCCGAUCCGAUGAUUCUUGGCUCGUGCAGUCUCCGCUCCGGUUGCUCCCAUCUGGAAUGCACAGACACCAGCCUACACCUGAGCAUGCGUUGCCGUCUCGGGCUUCAUCUGGAAUGCUUCUGAUAAUGUCUCCGGAGCAUGGAGAGGACCGGCGGUCCGUCUCCCGGCGCCCACGGCGGAAAGCGGUGGCUGCCACGCCUCCUCUAGCGCGCCGCCCCGUCGUGGCUCCUGAUCAUAGUCUACUUCUUCCACCUUGCCCUCUUCCACGCCCCACCGGUGCGCGCGGCGCUUGCGUCGUCACCAUCUUCCACAGCCUCAUGAAGCAGGACGACUACUCCUCCCGCGCCGCUCGUCCCGUCGUACUUCGACUCGAUUUGGUAGCGAACCGCACUCCGACCUGUCCAUAUGGCCCCAUCCACUGCUCUGAUCUCCGACGACUCGACGAGCUCGUCGAUGCAGAGCGCUUCUCGCGGCCUUCACCAAUCCACUGCAAGUCUGCAACGCAGCCGCCUCCUUUCCUCCUCUUCCUCGAGCUCGCGGAGGUGGUUGACCAACUCAGCGUUGUCCGGCCACCGUCGGAAUCUGCGAUAUGCCUGCACGGACCUCCGUCCCCUUGCGCCGGCGUCGAGCUCUUCUCGGCCGUCGACAUCACUAAGCCACCGGACGUACACGAUUGCCUAAUUCGGAAAUUAGGGGUCUUUUUGAAAAAUAUGGAUCGCGAUCCUAAGGCUAUUUGUCAAAUACCGGAUCACGAUUAUUAAUCGCGAUCCAUUUAAGCGAGUUUUAUAAAAGUACGUAGGGAUUCAUAUGUAAAAUGUUUAUCCCCGACCUCGCCGUCCCGGGCCCCUUCCGCCGCGAUAGCCAUGGCGCCCCCUUCCAGCCUCCAACGCCGGCGGCUUCGAUGAAGAGAGCUGUGUCUUCACCGCGGACGAGCUCCACGAAGACGUAGCUCAAUGCCGCCCUCGCAAUGGCCCUCAUCCGCUACAACCGGCCUCCGCGGUACAGCCCCCCACCGUCGCGGGCUCACCAUCCGCCACCGCCUCCACUGUCAGCGCAAAUUCAGCCAUUCCCCUAGCCACAUUUCUACUCCGAUCAAUUAUUUAUUCCUCCUCUCUCAUCUGCUCCUCUUCUCCCUGACAAGCGAAGGACCGGAAGGUGGUGGUGCGCUAUCCUCCAUCUACGUGAGGAGCUCAAGCUUGAAUCGAGGACGACGAGGAGGAAAGGGAGCGGCGGCUGCAUACUGAAAUUGCCGUGAUUUAUAAUCGCUAUGCUCCAUCUCCGUGAGGCGCGCGUGCUUAUUCGAUUGGAGGACUCCGAUCCCAUUGCCUGAAUCGACCUGAGCGUGAUGUAAACUCAGAUGUGCAUAUUUUUUCUAAAUACAGAGAGCUGCAUAUCUUUGUAUCAAGAAGAGUAAAAUAUAUUUUUUUACAAUGCGGGUCUUAACGCAGGCACAAAAUACUGAAAUUGCCGUGAUUAACACUGACAGGCCUGCAUCGGCGUGGCAUGCCUGGAUGCUGCAUCCGCGCAGUCCGGGCUCCGGCUGCAUGUGUGCUCUGAGCCGAGGGUACUAUGAUAUGAUCCUUGUCAGGAUCAGGGCCCAACGUUCAGCAGUAUGCAAAGCAAUUCCUCUCAUACGACCUGAAGGAAACCGUGUUUUAAUUUUUCUAAAGGAAACCGUGUUUUAAUUUUUCUAGGUGCAUGGAUGUUUGUAUACAUCUAGAUUUAUAGAUGUUUGUAUAGAUUUAAACGUAGGUGCAUACAAAUAUCUAUGCAUCUAGAAAAGUCAAAACAAUCUGCAAUUUGGAACGAAGGAAGUAAAAUUUAUAUAUGUUUUAUGUCUAGAUACGUAAGUAUAAGUCAUGCACUUAGAAAAGCUAAAAUAAAUAGUUCUAAAACAAAGCUAAAAUGAAUAAUAAUAGGAUGACCGCAUCCCGAGGCAGAUUCCCUCUAUCCGCGCGAGCCAUGCACGCCGUUAAUGUCAGGUCUCUCAUCCCCUACACGCUCGACGUGGAGGCGACGUGGAGGCAACGCCAUUUCCCGGAGCAGCCCGCCAGAACAUCGAGGGCGUAAGCGACGUAGGAUUGGAUCAUGAUUCAGAUUCACCUCUUUUUUUGAGAGAGAGGUGAUUCACUAAUUCGUCCAUCAAAUGCAGCAGCAGAUCAGUGUAUAGCCCAUGGGCCAUUUCAGGGCGACUACAUUUUGCUAGCGAAAUAAUUAGUCCACUGGGCCGUGCACUUCAACAGUAUGGGCCUACUCCUUGAGGCUGAGCCCAGUCCACCAAUCGCGGGUUGCGGCCUCUUCUUCCAGCUCGGAUAUCCUCGACCUCGCCGUUCGUUGCCCCUCUUUCGCCGCGAUCGCCAUGGCAGCUCCUUCCAACCUCCAACACCGGCGGCUUCGAUGGAGACAGCCGAGUCUUCACCGCGGAUAAGCUCCAUGAAGACGUAGCUGAAUGCCAACCUCGCAAUGGCCCUCAUCCGCUACAAGCCUACAACCGCUCUCCACGGUACAGCCCCUGCCGUCACAGGCUCACCAUCCGCCGCCGCCUCCACUGGCGGCGCAAAGUCAGCCAUUGCCCUAGCCACAUCUCUACUCUACUAACUAUUUAUUCCUCCCCUCUCAUAUGCUCCUCUUCAACUUUGACAAUCUAGGAGAGGCGGUGGCGCGCUAUCCAACAAUUCCAGGAGUCUCUAAAAAAUUCUCCUCCAAAACCAUAUAUUGUCCAAAACUAUAUAUCGAGGAUUCUUCUAAAAUUUUCUUUCCCUAAAAUACUAGCUCCCCGAUAUUUCAAAACAGAUCAGGAAGUAUGCCCAUCCAGUUGGGCUGCUCUCUCCUCCCCCUCGCGAUCUCUCCUGCCCCUCGCGAGGUGCCGUCGCCCCUACGCUACCGCCACUAGUCAGCCCCUCCCUCCUAGAGCCGGCUGACGACAGGAAUACCACGGGGGCACCAGCGAUGCGAGGGCCUAGAAACAGGGGCACCAGGAACACGCAGUGAAGGUGCCCAAGCUUGAGGCUUGGGAGCUUGCCACGGCAAGCGUCAAUGUCGUACUCCCUCCGUCCCAAAUUAUAGGUCGUUUUGACUUUAUUAGAUUCAUAAAUUUUGUUAUGCACUUAGAUAUACCCUAUGUCUAGAUGCAUAAUAAUAUCUAUGUAUCUAGAAAAGCCAAAACGACCUAUAAUUUGGAACGGAGGGAGUAGCAGCUAAAGAUGACAACGGCUUGGCUGCAUCCGGUAAACUGUGCAAACACGUGGUGGCGUCUUGGCAUGAUGUUUACUUUGGUUCGAAUGAUUACAUCGUAACAGCAUGAUGAGUCAAAUUUAGAUGAUGGAAAAUAUACCACAUAUGCUGAGCACAUGCCUGACCCCGGGGCCGUUCGCCGCCGACGUGUCGAGGCCCUCCGCGCCGCGCUCCGCCACCGGGAAAAAGUCGACGCACUCGAGCGUCCGGCGAGGCGUUCCGCUCCACUAACCCGACGUCGCCGAGCCACGCUGUGGAGGGGUCGUGGAAGUUGUUGCCCAUCACGUCCCCGGGCUGCGGGAUCACGGGGUUGCAGCUGGGCUUGUGCCACUCGCGGAGGAGCGGGUCCUUGGGGAACGCCACGUUCUGGACUUGGACCGUGUUGUUGUCGCGCCCGGUGUAGAGGAUGGCCGGGCGGCCGCCGAGCCCAACCAGCAGCCGUCGGCGUCGAAGGGCGACGUCGGCUCGAGCGCGGCGCCGAGGAAGGUCCAGUUGACGAGGUCGCGGGAGACGGAGUGGCCCCAUGAGAGCUAGCCCGUGCCAAACGUGGGUGAGGCGCACUAGAGGCUCUCCAGGAUGCGGCCAGAAAUCCACCAGGACAUGGCCGGCGGCGAGCGACGGCGCACCGGCGGCGGCGGCAUGGUCGGGAACGCGCGUGGAAACAAGGCUAUCGCGUGGGAAGCGCGAGGGCAUGGGCACCAGGAGCUCGCCGGAGUUCCAUUCAUGUGGGUUGUUGGCGUGGAGGUGGCGCGAGGCUAGCUGUCCACGGUGAGGUCGAGCUCGGCGGCAAUGGCGGCCUGGUGUCCGCGAGAACCGCGAUUGCCGGCGGGGAGAAGCUCCGCUUGGGCUAGGAGCGGCUAAGGCAUGUGCUCAGGGAGGUGGGGAAGGUCGGGGUUGGAGGAAUUUGGUGAAGGUGGCCGGGGCUCGCUGAAUAUGGCCGGCGGAAGAGCUCGGUUUGGCGCCGCGUGCCGUACUUGCCCCUGCUGGACCGGGGCAGAUGAACGUGGCAGCUGCAUCUGCUGCCGCUCGCGCCGCCGCCGCCGCCGCUCAGCUUCCUGGCUCCCACAAACUGGCGCGCGCGGGCAAAAAAUCUCGCGGGAACGGAUCAGGCGCGCGCGGGAAAAGAAAUCCCGGGGCGAUUGGGGGAGGAGGGGACUCCCGCAAAUACGCAGGACCCAACGUUCAGCAGUAUGCAAGGCAGUUCCUCUCAUCUGACCUGCUGCAUUUUUCGAAAGGAAAAAAUAAAUAAAAUUUAUAUUCACUAAUAAGCGAUUCUCCAAUAGGCAUUCAUGCAACGCAAACUGAAGAAGAGAUGACAUCACUGUAACCCAAGAACACCAUGUCGGUGAAAUUUCGGCAUGGUCCGAUCCUAAACUGCACAAGAAACGAUCACCAGCGACAGUGAUCUGCUGGCUUCGCCGACAAGGAGUCGAUCUCCGUUUGCUUUUGUUCAUGCAUGUUGCACGCUGGGGGAAAAAAGAAGGAAAACAUUCAGUAGAAAACAUUCAGUAUGACUGCAUCCUGAUUCCUGAGGCAGAUUCCCUCUACCGCGCAAGCCAUGCACGCCGUGAACAUCAAGGCCCUCAUCCCUUGCACGCUCGACGUGGAGGCGACCUUUUGCGAGAUAAGGCUGGCCUGCAACGGUCGUCCAUCAAGAAGAGGCAACGCCGUUUCCCGCAGCUGAAAUAUCGAGGGCGUAAACGCAGCAGAUCAUGUAUAGCCCAUGGGCCAUGGCAGGGCGACUACAUUUUGCUAGCGAAAUAAUGAGUCCACUGGGCCGUGCACUUCAACAAUAUGGGCCUACUCAUUGAGGCUGAGCCCAGUCCACCAAUCGCGGGUUGCGGCCUCUUCUUCCAGCUCGGAUAUCUCCGCGCUUCCUCACCGACCACCCAAUCUCACGCCACCAGCAAACAUGCUGAGUUCUCCGAGACUCGCAGCACCGGCCGCCUCUCGCGGCUCCCCCUCCCCGACUCUCACCACCACCACGCCCACAGGUCUCGGAAUCCGUCGCCGCCGCCGAAGCGGUCUCCACGCUGCACAGCCCGAUACGGCUUCUCGCCACCACGGCGACCGUGGUCGCCCGGCGCUCCACCUCGCGAAUCCCGUCGCCUCCGCUUCUGUCACGAGCACCAGCUCGCCGGAUCCCAUCCAUGGGCGAUUCGAGAGCGAUGAGCUCAGGAGGCUGUGCCGUGGACCCAACCCGAAGGCCGCCAUUAGACUGCUCGACCAAAUGCUCCAACGAGGAGGCGGCGCCGAGCUCCAGCCGGAAGAGCAAGCCGCGCUCCUCCAGUCCUGCGCCGACUCGCGUUCGCUGGCCUUGCUAAGGCGGGCGCACCGCCUGCUCGCUUCCAGGCCCUCGUCCGCGAUCCCCGCGCCCAUCCUGCACGGGAUCGCCACGCUGUACCUCAAGCUCGGCGCCCGUGGCGACGCGCGGCGCGUCCUCGAGGGGCAGUCGAGGCCGCCGCCGCCGCGGAGGGGGAGGGAGAGCGAGGACGCCGCGGUCCAGGCGAAGCGGCGGGAGGCGUACGAGAAGGUGCGGGAGCUGCACGAGCAGAUCCGCGCGGCGGGGUACGUGCCGGACACGCGCCACGUGCUGCACGACGUCGACGAGGGCGCCAAGGCCCGCGCGCUCAUGUACCAUAGCGAGCGCCUGGCCAUCGCGUUCGGACUGGUGAGCACGCCGCCGGGGACGCCGCUCCGGGUCAUGAAGAACCUGCGCAUCUGCGGGGACUGUCACAACGCCGUCAAGCUCAUCGCCAAGGUCACCGGCCGAGAGAUCGUCGUCAGGGAUAACAAGCGGUUCCACCAUUUCAAGGACGGUGUCUGCUCCUGCGGAGACUACUGGUGAGGAGCCUUCUGGACACCUGCAAUUGAUAUAACACGAAUUCCUCUGUUGCCGUUGCUGAAACUCUUGACCAAGCUUGUGACACUUGUUAGUGACCAGAGUUGGAUGAAACAUUUUCUUUGGCCAAUUUGUGUUUUCAUGCGUUGGCCAGCCAAGAUGACUCUCAAAUCUCAACUACAGUUUGUGGGGCUGCUAGUACGCAAUUCAGUGGUAGAACAUGGAAAAGGACACAAUGCUAGGCAAGGGAAACUCUGAAUUUUUUCACAAAUCGAAGUAAAGAAUCAAGAGAACAGAACAAAUGAAAUCUCGAAGCUCUACGACGUGCGGCGGCGAGAGCUCAUGGGCUCUGCUCGAUGCGUGGCCGGCGAGGCCGUGCCACCACCGUCCGCUGCUGGGACUGGCAGACCUGCGCCGGGAACUUGCACCCGAAACGCUUCGUCACCAUCGAGCCCCACCUCCCGUCGGUCGCCGCCGACGGCGCCCCCCUAUCCGCCGACGCCCCGCCCCGCCGGUCCAUCUUCUCGAUGGCUUUCCUCAUGCUCGUGCACUCGCGCUCGAGCUCCUGCACGCGGCUGCGCAUGCUGUCCAUGUCUAGCCGCAGCAUCUGGUUGCCCCGCGUGGCCACGCGCCACGUCCCGCCGCCGUCGCUGUCGCCGCCGCCUUCCUCCCCUGACCCCGCCGCCCCGCCUUCAUUCGCCAUGAUCGUCCGCGCGAUGGCCCGGCGUAGCUGGAGCUGCUCGAAGAAGAGCACCUGCACGACCGUCCGCAGCGGCAGCCGCUCGUUCUGCGCGGCGUGCGUGCACGCCUCCAGCGUCAGCUUGCGCCCGUCCACCACGCCGCUCACCUUCUCCUUCUCUUCUUCGGUCAGCCCAGGAUGAGCCUGCACGGCACAGAGAGCAGCCAAACAAGCACACUCAUCAGCACGGCAUUGCUUCACAAGUUUGCAAACGACAAGAUCACGAGAAGAACGCCCUGCUCUCUCACCUUGAGGUAGAUGUCGACAGCCCGGUAAAGGCCAUCGUCGUACACGCGGGCGCCGUCCGGCAACGCCCAGGCGAGGUCGCAGAACUUGUCCGGCUUCAGGUUUGCAUCCGUCGCGAUCUCCCCCAAGUACGCAUCGACCAGCCGCCCCACGGCCAGCAUGGCUCGUCGGCUAGCCUCUCUGCCCGGCGUCUCCGCCUCGCUGCCCUCGUCGUCCUCGUUGCCCUCCUCGGCGACGCCGCGGCCUUCCAGGAAGUACCGCACCACGCGCUCGACGCAGUCCACGUCGUAGAGCGUCUCCACGAGGUACGAGUAGCUCGGGACGAGCAGGUCAUCGACGGCGGCGUCCGGCAGCCGCGCGGCGAUGCGCCGCUCGAGCGUGUCGCGGGACGCCUCCGACGCGUGCAGGAUGCUCGCCGUGCGCAGGAGGCCGAAGAGGACGCGCGCCGCGGUGGCGCCGACGGCGGUGCCGGUGUGGGCGCUGCUCUUGACGGUUUCCUCCGGGAGGUUGGCGAUGACGGUCUCGAGAAGCGCCUUCUGGUCCCCAUCCGACGACGCCGGGGCCGAGGCCGCCGCGGCAGCCGCGGCGCCACCGCCGCCGACAUGCCGGCCGGUUCGCGACAGACCGGGGAUGGACCGCUUGGCGUACGCAAUGAGAGCCCCCUCGAUGACCUCUGGCCCGACGCCACGCUCCUUUAUGGCGGCAAUGACACGGGUGAACGUGGCCAAGGACAGACCGGCGAGGUCGUCGAACCAGGUGGCUCCGGCGGCUGCGCUGUUCUUCCGGCGCUGGCGGUCGCCAGCCCUGGCGUCGUCGGGGAUGGGCCAGCCAAAGAGCGCCGUUGGCGUGGACGCGGCGGCCUUGGCGGCGAUGGCGUCCACGCAGCGCGACACGAGGCCGAGGCUGUCGGCGAGGGGGAGGAGGCCCUCGCAGGACUUGAGCGCGCGGAUGGCGUCCCUGGGGUUCCUCAGGACGGUCUGCGAGAUGAACCGGUCGGCGCGGGAGACGAGGUUGUCGUCGGAGUGGUCGUCGGUCAUGCCGAGGCGCUCGGCCGCGCAGCGCAGCGGCGCAGCGGUGGCCGGCGUGAGGUCGAGCUUGACGCCGUAGCAGAACUUGGCGGCCAGCUCGAACACCUCCGCGCCGCCGGGGAACUCCGGGAGGCGGAUGCGGUGCACGUCCGCCUCCUCGUCCUCCUCCAGCACAACUUCUGUUUCCUCCUCUCUGAUCUCCCCGGCACCCUCUUCUUGCUCCCCUCCUGUGGCCUCGCGUGAUUCCUUGUUCGUGAUGAGGUCGUGAAUCUUCUUGCUCCGUGACAUUAACGGGAACUGCAUGAAAGGCACCGGAUUUAGCCAACUUUUGGGGAUCAAUGAGUGCCGAAUUUCCCAAACUUUUUGGCAGCUCGAGAUUAAGAAAUGGACCGCAUCAACUCACGAUAGAGACACUGGACAGAUUAGCAAGGUGGAAUAAAACAGAGAAUGGUAAAAAAAACCUGUAAAAUUGAAGGAUAGGAGGCAAGAUUCACGAACCUUGUGGAGAUGGAAGGUCAUGUCGCCCACCUCGAUCACGACAUCACUGGGCAAUCCCGUGGUGCAGAACCUGGCGAGCACAGACGCGCAGAUCAGAGAUCAGAGAACAGCAAGCCACCAAACAGGCAAAAGAGAAACGAAAGGAAUUGCUUCGCUUGCCAUGCUUGGCCUUUGGAGCUGGCCGCCGCCGGCGGCUGCUGCUGCUGCUCCCGCUCCCCGCGAGCCAUCUCCCGUGCGCUCUUCCUCCUCCCCUGCAUCGAACAAUCCUUUCAAGAGCAGCAACGGAGAGGCAUUUCUCGGGAGGAAGAGCUGCCCGUGGUCGUGGGAAUCAGGGAAUUGGGGAGAGCUCGCUUGCUACUCGCAAUAAUGGUGUCCUGCCAACCUAUCCCCGUGGUUUCUUUGUUUUAGGUGAGGGGAGUAAAGGAUUCCCAAGUGGGGGAAGACGAAGACAAGAUGGUGUUUUUGGUUUUUUGAACGCCGUUGCGCUUGCCUCAAAAGCACGUAUCCUCCAUUAGCCCAUUUGUUUAUCCAGCCGUCCGUACUCUCGCUUUCCCGUUGUUUAACUACUGGUUUAGUACAAUCCCUCCCCGUAAGAUCCCCUCGCAUGAUCCUGUUCAUAGUUCCAUGUUCUGACAUGAAAGAUAAAACUGGCCCUGGUUUCUACAUAACCAAUUCACACGCGCUGACCAGGUCAAAUCCAUGAAAUUGCUCCAAACAUCUCAUCGUACAAAAACAAGCUGGUUUUCAUUUCACCAAAGAUCUACUAUAUCUUGCUGUUGUAGUAACAUACAUCGGAGUAUUAAAAAGGAUUCAGACACCGUCACGGUAGAGUGACCACAACAGCACCAUUAUUUUAACCCGGCUCACCGCGAGCCAGGCCAAUUAAGUACUAACAACGAGAAGAAUGAAGGAAUCUCGUGGUAAAGAUUGUUCUUUUCCUUUUUAUCCAGGACCCCAAGAUUUUUUUCCUCACUCCUUGAAACCAGCAUCCAUGCCAAUGCCAUAUGAUCCAGGCAUCCUUUUUUGUCCUCUCAAGGCCAAGGUGAAGGUGGAGUGUGCUCUCAAGUUUAAAAAACUUUGAACUCCCGCUUCUGCUCGCACCUUGGCUGCAGAUCGGAAUAGUAAAUGCGGAGGCGUGAUGCCGUCAUCAAUGCCGGAGGUGGAUGCUGUGCCGCCGUGCACGAGAGGGAGACUGGGAGAGUCGGAGAGAGAUGUUUGCAGGAAGAGAGAGAUCAGAAUUCAGAACUGCACAAGGCAACAGCACUGGAAGCCUGGAAGGUGAGCCCCAUAUCCGCCUGCCGCCCGCUGGCUGCUGCUCCCUCUCUCCGUCUCUCGCCUGAAAAGAGAGGGUGGCUUCUGUGGUGCCACCUCGCCACUGGUGCCGGUGGUGGCAGGCCGGAGAUAGUGUGUGGGCGUGCCCUGCGCCUGCUGGGGAUGGGCCUGGCAAUGCCAUGGCAAGGAGGACAGACACACAAAAGGCACAAAGCCGAAGGCAAAGGACAAAGGCUGGCUGGGGGGUUCACCGCGGCACUACGACAACCUUGGCUUUUGAAUGGUACGGCAAACAGUCGUUCAGUUCUUCAGGGGCGUGUGUUGCUGUGCAGGGUUUGUCAUGACACGAGCCGUCAGGUUUCUACAGGGUAUCUGUAUAUCAUUCUGGAUGGAUCAUGAGCAGGAUUGGGAUGUCUGUUGUUUUGUACUUCUACCUGUAGGCAUUGGUCGUACAAAUUGUGGUUGAGGCGGUUCAUCAGGUUAGAGAAAACCAGGGGAAUCUAUACUUGGAUUAACCAGAUGCAAAAGCAGGCAAGAGGCUUUCGGGCAAGCCUAGGGAGAUGGAUUGCUUCAACUUUCUCAAAAGUUUCCAAAGCAUUGGAGUGCGAGAGAGAGGCUAAAGGUCAAGGCUCAAGAGCCAGCCUCAGCAUGGUUUUCCUUGACCGAAAUGCUCGUGCCCUUAGGGGCUGUUUGGUUGCAGCCCUGAGCUGAAAUUGCCUGGCUGCACACCUGCCUGGAGCUUGCCUGCAUGGUGUUUAGGGGGUGUUUGGAAGGAGGGGACUAAAUUUUAGUUCCCAUCACAUUGAAUGUUUGGACACUAAUUAGGAGUAUUAAACCUAGAUUAAUUAUAAAACUAAUUACACAACCUCUAUGCUAAAUCGCGCGACGAAUCUAUUAAGCCUAAUUAGUCCAUGAUUUGACAAUGUGGUGCUACAGUAACCAUUCGCUAAUGAUGGAUUAAUUAGGCUUAAUAGAUUCGUCUCGCGAUUUAGCCUAGGGGUUCUGCAAUUAGUUUUGUAAUUAGCUUAUGUUUAGUCCUCCUAAUUAGUAUCCGAACAUCCGAUGUGAUAGGGCUAAAGUUUAGCUCCUGGUAUCCAAACGCCCCCUUAGUUACGGUCCUGCAAGGUUGAUUGGAUCAGGCAGCAUCAACCCCCACCAGGCCGACGAAAUUGAACGUCUGGCUCCAGUGCGGUGGUUGCCUGGACUAAUGGCUAUGAUUACACACUAAUCAAUCGUAUGGCUGCAUGCACGAUCUUCCUAUAGCUUAUUUGUCUACGUAAAAUCAAUCAAAUAAUAUUCCCACCGUAUAAAACAUUAACCCAAUUUACUUCACCUUGUGAAAAAUAAGGUUUCCAUAUUAUUUCUCAUAUUAGUUUAAUUAAAUAUAUUUAUUGUUCUAUUACAAAUAUUUAUUUUAUAAUCUUAUUAAUAAAAAUUAACAAGCAAGUCAUUCGACAUCCGCUAACCAUGUAUCAGUGUCUAUUAAAUCAUAUUUUGGUAUAAAAAAGCAAAUGAAUGUUGUGUUUCCUUUUAAUUAGUGUUCUCAAGCACAGGCCUCCGACCUAGCUUUCUUGAUAAGGCAGAUUUCAUCAAAUUUUCAGUCAACUCUAAGGCAGCAUUUUUUGCCAGGCAACUUGUUCAGGUCUCCAACCAAACAAGCCCUUAGAGCUCAGAUGAUUUCAGCCCGGUGAAGGUAGUCUGAUUCUGAAUGACCGUGAGUCAGGUGUGGUCUUCAGAGCACAUGAGUCCGUGGCAUCAUCUCAACACGCUGCUGGAUCUGUUUCUUUCGAUGACACGCGAUCGACUUCGGAGUAGGGCCCAAUCUUCCCAGAAAAUUGGGUAAGAAAACUAGACAUUUGGCCGUUUUGGCGGAUAUCAAUGAGGAUGCUGGCAAUCUUGGCGACGCAGGAUAAUGGGGCACGAGCAACUAGUGGUGCAUCAGCUUUGUCAAGCAUUUGUGGAUCAUUUUCAUGCGCUCUGGUCCUACACCAUGGACUGCCUUUCCCUGAUCUUCAUGAAAUGAGCGUGCAUGCCGUGGUACAACUCGAGUAAUCUUUGCAUUCACGAGAGGAAGUUCUUUAGAUUUAGCCUUUAUGCAGUUCUUUCAGUCUUUGCUUGCGAAAAAGUUAGCCCUUCUGGGUCCUAGCUAACAUAACGUUAAUCUUGCUUCGAUGAGGGCGAUUCCACUAGUGUUUAAUCCAAACUUAAGCUUGCUCAUCAGAAACGGGCGUUGUCCCCCGGGAAUUUUCAGAACAAAUCGUGCAAUUUCAGCAGGCUACUUUUCGCACAGUGCGUUUUGUAUGGAUGUUCAUCUGAAACUGAAACAUUGUACAUGAGUAGGGGACCACUCUGUUUUUUUUUCCUCAGAUAUCAUCAAUCGGUACCGGAAGAACACAACGACAAGCAGGUAAAGAACUAGUCUUAUGCCGGCAGAAAGUUAACGCGAAACAUUCCGCCGUAGAAUGUUUACAGCAGUAACAGUACAUCGCAAGGGACAAAGCUGACGGGACUAAACAUAGUAAACAAAACAAGCAACAUUCUCGUCUUCAACGAUCACGAUUAGGAAAACCUGCUGUAGGCUCACAUGGCGCAUGAGAAUUGGCUGCAUUAGUAGAAUGAUUAUCGGGACUAAUGGCAGCGCGCACUUACGUCUCACGGCUGGAGAUUCAGAAACUGUCAAGAUCUAAGCACAUCUCGCAGAUGUGGCUGGCCCUUGGCCUCUCGCAGCACCUAAAAUUCCUCUGGCAAAUCUCAUAGAUUAAUACGCCCAACCACUGCCCAUCAUUGGUCCAGCAUUGCAUUUCAUUCCAUUUCGUUCCGUUUCGUUUUCCCCUUUGUUUCUGCACAAGCCUCUUGACAGGAGUGCAGGACCAAGACCAACCCUGACGAUGGGGACAAGAGAAGCAACGGGGGCACGCAAGCAGAGACAAACAAUGCCAGCGCGGCUUGGCACGAUGGCACGCAACCGUGCCGCGAGUUGGCAACGAAUCGAACGAUCGGCAGGCGACAGAAUGAUCGCGCGCAGCAUCGCAAUCGCUGGCGCUUUCCGCUCGCUUAUGAGUGAGCCGGCGAGCGAUCUGCGCGCGGCCGCGCGCACGCGGCCCCAAUCAUACGAGCGUCCGGGACCCUACCCGUUCCGGGUUUGUUUUUGGCAUCAGGGGACACGAACUCCGGCAGAGCCAGCGAAGCAUCCACCACGCCUGGCCAAAGCACGUCACGACCAGCCAGGUGACGAAUUCAGCGGGGAAGCCGACCCUAGCCAAGCCGACGUCGAAGGCUGCUUCCAGCACCGUGGUUAUAGAUGGUCAGAUGGGUCGUCCGGCCUUAGCUCGGCACUAACCUGAUUUGGCCCGGCUCGACUAGGCUUGGCACGGUGGCUUAGUUGUGUCGGGCUGAACCAGCACUACGUGCUGAAUUGCCGGCCCAAGCUCGGCACUACGAUCCUUUUGUUGUGCCGGGCCAGCACAACGGCAUGGCAGGCAAGUGCCAGGUCAAGCCCGAAAAGCAAAAGAGAAUUGAAGAGGAAAUCAAACUAAGAUGCAAAAAUCAAGAAAUUCUUCACGGAUUCACAGUAAUCACCAAAUACACACAUCGAAUACAUCACACAAAAUCCAUUGAAAAUGAAUGUGUGGCGACAAGCGUGGCCCUAGCGCCGUUCAUGGCCGCGCCCCUGCGGCAACAGCAAGUGCACCGCCUGGUGGUAGCCCCUGGCGGCGGCGGCGGCAGGCGCGCCGAUGCGAUGGCGGUGGCGGCGAACGGCGCCGCUCCUGACCGAGCCUCCCGUAGUGUCGGCGACCUGGAGCAGGCGCGGCGACCGGUCGCCAGCGCGACAAGGACGGCGGCGGAGGAGUGAGGGGAGGAAGGGGCGGCGGCUGGGAAGGGGAAAGUGGGGGCAAAGAGUUAGAGUUUUCUAUAUUAAUAUGGACUAGCGAAGGUGGUUAGUAGGCUGCCGUCGGACCGGCUCAAAAAUCACUCGGGCUGGCCAAGGUUGCGGGCCAGGCACUAGCCCAACCAUAGGGCUGGGCCGGCCUGUGUACUACUACCCUCAUGCCGGCUGUGUUAGGGCCGAGCUUUUUUAGGGCCAGUCCUCGGGCCGCUCAGCGGGCCUGGCCCAUCUGGCCAUCUUUAGUCCGUGGCCGGCGCGUUCGGCAUGAACAGGGGGUCAUGUAGUCUGGCUGGUUUCUUAUACCGGUUCGUUUUUAUGCGUAUCCAGGUACAUCUGGGCCUGUUUAUUGGGCUGGUUAGGCUGCCUGGGCUUCUCGCCCAUCGUGUGUAUUGGGCCUUUUCUCGUCCUUCCUAUUACGUACGCCACUUCUGGAGCCCAGAGUGGCCGAGGCCUCGUGGAUCGCACGAUUCCUGGCGCCGUGGCGCCACGCAGGCCACCCACAUCAUCCUUCCCCUCCGUGGCUCCGCCUCCGUGUUUGACUCCGGCGGCUCGUGGAGUCGUGGUCUUCCUCGGCUGCCUUCUCCAUCCCGCCGAGCCUGAGCUGCAAAAUACUACCACUGAGAAGAAAUGGCGAGUGUGGCCUCCUCGAGGUGCCCCGGCCUUCUCCUCCGGCCGAGCCUCGCCGGAGCCCGAUGCUGCCCGCGCCCGUCCUCUUCCCUCCGCCUCCGUUCGCGGUGGGGCCGGCGCCACCCGAGGACCCUCGCUUGCGUCGCGCCGCCGGACUCCGCGGAGCCACAGACGGUGCGCUCUGACAGCACACCAAGGACUCCUCUACCUUGUUCCCGUAUUGUUAUUUCGUGCAUGCGAAGUGGAUCCCUGGAUUUUUUUUACAGUAAUUCCGUGCAAAUGAUGAUUGUUCUACUAGAACUUCAAAUUCGUGUAGAUAGUUGUGGGCAUAAACAUGUUACAGGAAUUUUGCACUCUUGAGAUCAGUACUCCUGCUAGUGCUAGGAUAUAGGUUUCAACGAGAUGCUAAUGGAGUGAUGUGUCUUUUGCUUUCACAGGAUGAGCAUACUGUGAAAGCUGAGUCGACUGAAGAAGAGGCUCAGACAACCAGCACAACCCAGGAUGCUGGACUUCCAGCUCUCCCAAACAAGGAUCUCAACAGAAGGGUAGCAUUACUGUCCACUCUUGGGGCAGUGGCUCUCUUUGCAUCGCAGAGGCUCAAUCUUAGUGAGGCAUCUCUUAAAGAUCUUGCAGCCAAUGCUGUGCCAUAUGAAGAGGUCAGCGCUCCCUGGACUUUAUGUGGAUUAUUUGCCUGAUGCUGCAUAUUUACUUGGAAAAAGUCUAAAUUACUCCCCUCAAGUAUAACCAAAGUCUGGAUAACCCCCUAAAGUAUUUCUUGGUUCAGUUUACCCCCUAAACUAUACCAUUUGGUUCAAUUUACCCCUUAACACAAUUUGUCUUUUUUGUUUCUCCAUGCACAAGUGGAGUUUUAAGUUCAGAUUUUGCAAGAUGGUAGUAGACAACAUAAGACAUGUUAAACAAUAUAUCAUUAAUUUUUCAUCACUAUUUUGAUAGGGUAGGAUAUUUAAUAAUAAAAUUUAUCGUUGAGAUACAAAAUUAUAUAAAAACUAAUAAUGAAAAAUUUAUAAAAUAUUUUUUAAUAUAGAUUAUGAUGUCCACUACCAGCCUGCAAAGUUUCAAAUUAAAAUUCAACUUGUGUAUGGAGAAACAAAAAUGACAAAUUGCAUUAUGGGGUAAGUUGAACCAAACAGCAUAGUUUAGGGGGUAAAUUAAACCAAAACAUUGUUUAGGUGGUUAUCUGGACUUUCGCUAUACUUGAAGGGAGUAAUUUGGACUUUUUCCUAUUUAUUUAGUUAAUUGGUUGGUGCCCAAUGGAAAAAUUAAUUGGUAGGGAUUUACAUGUUGUAAUGUCGCAGUAUCAUCUUUGCAGUUGUUGUUCAUGAAAUGCACAAUGAGAACCGCCUGGAAAGGAAUAAUUUCGAUAGACAAAACAAUGUUUUUUACCUGUCAAUGAAUCAAUGCAUCGUUGGUUGCUUCAAGUGCUAUCGGUACUCUUUGCUUAAUAUGUGUUUCGUCUAGCUCCUGUCGUUAUGUUACCAACAUCCUUCAGAUUAAUUUGUUCAAUUUCGUUCACUUUGUCGAAUUGCUUUUUGAAAAAAAAACUGCUAGAGCUGGAAUCUCAUUAAUUCAUUUCUUUGCCAGGCUGUGCUGAUUGUAUUUGUUUUGCAUAUGGUUUUCUUCACUGUAAAUGCUGGUGAAACUUAACCUGAUAAAUGCAUAUGCAGUGAUGCAACACACUAUUGUGUAGGACAGCUCCACGUUGCUGCUACAAAUAGAUAUAGGUAUUGGAGAAGCCUCUCCAAUGUGCUAAUAGGUACAAACAGCACAAAGUGUUGAAGGAACCACUUCAAUGUGGGCAAAGAUAGACCAAAAGGUCGAAUCCGAAUCCAUGGAUAGCAAGAGCUUACUACAAAGCCAUUUGGGUACAAGAUCUAGUCCAAGAUCUAAAGGGUAGAACAACAUGUUCUAUUUUCUAUUGAUAACUAUAAUGGGUACAUCACAACCAUCUUACAAACUUGAGGCUUGCCUCUAUUUAUGGGCUGAUAAGCCUUACACGACUCACACACAACUAAUAUGACAACUAGAUAAAAACUCACAUAUGGCAAAUAGGUAACAAUUCAUGUGUAGCUAAUAGACAACUAAGCUUCAAGUGUAGUAGUAAAAACCAAUUUUGCAUCUAAUUCUUGAAGUGUGAGAUGAGUGUAUAUUUUCAUAGUAGAAGAAUGGGAUUUGUCUUCUAACUCUUGAUAGAAAAAUCCAGUUUGAGUUUUGACACACUUAUAUUCAUGAACCAUUUGGCUAUAUGUGAUGUCCCUCAACAUGCAGGCUCUUUCAAAUGGCAAGCCCACUGUUGUUGAAUUUUAUGCGGACUGGUGUGAAGUUUGCCGAGAGUUAGCUCCAGAUAUCUACCAAGUUGAGCAACAAUACAAGUAAUUUUUACACCCACUUUUCACAUUUCUGCACUUACGUUUUCAUCCGGAAUAACAACAAUGGUCCAUUCCAUUUAUUCAAGAAUCAGUACUAGUCUCUGCUGCAUUAUAUCCUAUUAGGAACAUUCCAUCGAAUCCUUGUUAUAGGCAUGGCAACCAGGAUCUGAAGGUGCUGCACUGCAGGUACCAGCUGGACACCAUCAGUUAGGAUAAGGCCUUAAAGCAGAUUGUUGGGUCUAUUCUUAGAAAGUUAUGUGUAUGUGUCUGCGGAAGCCAAAGGCUAUCAAUCCUGGCCGCAUGGUGCUUUGUUAAGCAAUGGAUCAGGAAAGAAACAUUAGUCUAAGUCUACCCAAGAGUUUUAAUUCCUCCCGAGCAGAAGGCACCGCCCAGCUAUCCUCUGGUGGUGUUUACCCCUUAUGAUCCGAUCAUAACAAACCUUAUAGCUGGACUGCCACAGGAAGUAGUUCUGUGCGCAUAGGUUGUCCUUAUUUUAUAAUUCGAAGCAUAAUCAAUCACAAAUCUUAAUCAAUCUAGUGGAUAGAAAGGCAAAUAGGAGUUCUGUUUACAAAAGAAUCUAUCGAGUUUCAUCAACGGCAUUAUGAUUAUAUCCAACAACCAAGACACAAUUAUUGACCAAGCUAGUCUUUGCAUGUGUUGUUUUUAUUUCCUGUCAAUGAUAUUUACAUACCUUGAACGUUCUUUUCAGGGACCGUGUCAAUUUUGUCAUGUUGAAUGUCGACAAUACAAAGUGGGAACAAGAGCUUGAUGAGUUUGGAGUAGAAGGCAUUCCUCAUUUUGCCUUUCUAGAUAAGGAAGGAAAUGAGGAAGGCAAUGUUGUUGGGAGACUUCCAAAACAGUAUUUUCUUGACAAUGUGGUCGCACUUGCUUCUGGUGAUCCCAACAUUCCUCAUGCACGAGUUGUUGGUCAGUUCUCAAGUGCCGAGUCUAGGAAGGUUCAUCAAGUUGCUGAUCCCAGAAGUCAUGGCUAGUAGUUGUUGGCCGUGUGGUAGCAGUAUAAUGCCAAGACCAUUUGACAAGUAAGCCUUCUUUCUCUUAAAUAAGUCAGUAAGUUGUAAGUACAUAUGUCAUGCAGAGUUUCAGUGAAUAAAUAAUAUCUCAGUGACUCUAAAAAAAUGCCUCAGUUGUGUACUUUUAGGACUGUUCAAGCUAUAUAUCUUUAGCAAGAUAAUAAUACAGUAUGCUGCCACUUUUAAAAUUAUAUAUAUAGUAUGCUACCACAAGUCCACAACCUGUCGAUUUCUCUUGCACACAGAAACGGCUUCCUGCCAAAAAACCAUUGGACCUUUUGCUAAGGCAAGUUUUUGAACCUAGCUAAUAUAAAAUUGCCUUCAUACAAAGAGAUGAAACAGCACGUCGAUUUCACAUUUCAUGAUUGUGACCCCUGCCAAUUUUUAAAAAGCUAAUCUGAUUUUUGCAGGAGGCGACCCUAAGACUAUGCUAUUAACACAAUCACUGUCUCUUGGUAUCAAGCUUGCGGGAGCUGGAAACACCGUAAAUGCCAGAAGAAAGUGCUACAGCAAUCGUCUAUGCCAGGUCAUGAGGAUGUGAUGUGCCUGUUUCAGCGUUGAUUUGUCAGUGAUAGGGAAACGGUUGCAUCUUGUACUGAAAAAAAUGCAGAGGUACCGACAUAGUACGUCAGUACAACCCCGAAUGUGCAUGUACCACUACAUUAUCAAUGUUUUCCAGCAGGGUGUAGGGGCUACUGGCCCAUGAAAGCAGCUCACUCCUACUCGUUGUUCGUGUAACACAUGCUUAUUGUGCUGCUUUCAGCCUUGAUAUCUAUCCCGAUCGACCAUAUUCGGUCUCCCAUUAUGACCGCCAAGUCAUUUCCUUUUGUGCAAUCAGGUUGUCUGCCACUUUGUUCACUGUCCUGCAACACUUUUCUGUGCCUCUGCAGUGCCUGCUUGAGAGCACCGUCCCACGAGGGAUGAUUGCAGCCAUAUACUAUGACAGGUGGAUCAUGUGAAUGUGAUCAGUUGUGAUGUUCCAUGUAGAAAGAGCAGAGAAGAAACGGGCCGGACCGGAACUGAUGGACGCCGAGCAUUAUUCUACAGGGCAGAGUCAUGGCUCGUGCCGGGGAACAAACACGAGACCAACGACUCCACCUCGGUGGAACGCUGACCGCGCGGUCUGGUCAGACUCGGGCCCGUCGUGCGGCCGUGUGUGAACCCCGCGAGGUCCUCGGCACGACACGAGCGCAGCGUGGACGCGUACGGCCGGCCAGUCAGAGUCAACCCGGGGCAGGAGCGUGUGAUCUUGCUGAUCGCUGACUCGCUGCUAGAACGGGGCUCCGCGUCUCCACGGAAACGGGGGACGCCGGACGCGGACGCGGACGCGAGCAGGUGGAAUGGAAAAGCCGAGGCCGGCAGAGGCAGAGCCGAACCGUGGUGCCCGGUGACGCCGUGACGACGGUGCCGCGUCUCAGGCGGAAAAAGGCAGAGGCGUGCACUCGCCCUUGCCGCGAGCCCGCGAGCAUGGUGCGCGAGGCCCACAGGCCCCAGCCUAAUGUGACGGCCGGGUGCAUUACCUUUUCAGUCAUCAGUCAAAGUGUUUCCAACAGAAAAAAAAGAACGUUUCUUAUCAUUGGGCCCAGUAACUGGCCGGAGACCACCAAGAGCAUGCACUGUGAGUCUGUGAUGGCCCUAGGUGCGUGUCGGCGCGUGCAAACCUUGAUCACACUCGCCGGGCAGGCAAGAGAAUAAUGAGGCUUGGAAUCGUUCCAUCGCCGAUCGGCGCUCCUCAUACCUGUCGACCACAGCGACCACCGAGCGGAAAAUCCCCUAGCUAGCUCGAAUCCUUUCUUUCACCAGCUACUGCCGCCGACUCGCGCUGCUCAGUGAUCACACGCCGAGGUCAGCGGCCGCCGAUCGAGGCGUCAAUGUGCCACCGGCCAGCGGCCAUCCGCCCACGAUCGGCGGCACCGUGACGCUUGCGAGUACGUUGGAGCUGAAAGAAAACGAUAAAAGAAAGACCGAGGCAUGAGCCGAGCUCUGCGUCGAUACCUUGUGCCAUGCGGCGCCCAUGCGUCGAGUCGCCGCCGACGCGCGGCAGCUCUGAUCAUCCACGUAGCCGUCGUGCCGUCAUGCCUGGCGAAGGCAGCGAGACGCUCAACCGAACAAAAAAACGCAUCACUUCCUCGCAUCAUUCAAGUAACGAAAAUUUUGGUACAACUCCCGUCAACAAUUUCAGUUUCUAACCAUUAAUGUCUCUUAAACAAUUAAAUUUAAUAUUUGAAUGUAGGGCUAAAUUAGUCUCCACCAUACUCCCUCCAUCUAUGUUUAUAAGAUAUAGUAUGAUUUAAGCACGAUCUUCCAAAUAACAUUUUGACCAUUCAUUUAUCUUAUUCAUAUUAUUUAUGGUUAUAAACUAUAUAAAGUUUACAUUAUAAAAAUAAAAAAUUAAUAGUUAAAUUAUUAGUAGAAAAUUGUAAAGUUUGAAUCUUAAUAUGUGUGUGCGCCUUAUAAAUAAAAACGGAAGGAGUAGUUUUUAAAUUGUACCUAACAUUUGCGAUAUUUAAAAUGUAGUUAAUAUUGUUGAUCGAAGCCAACUAUAUAUGGAGAGUACUCUCCCCCCAACACUAGAAAAAGACUUGUUCAUACACGUAGUUAGUGGGGAUCCCACCUUUAUCCUCUAUUUCUCGCGGCGCACCUCCUCUCGCGUUCUUAUAUUCGCGCACGGCGCAUCUUCCUCUCACGUUCUCAUAUUUGCGCACGGCGCAUCUGUCUCAUGAGCUCUCACAGCGCUCCGCCUCCAAUGCCUUUCGCUUGGCUCCUGUGGCGCCGCUGCGCGCCGAUGUAGAAUCAUACAAAGCCAAUCCUCCCGCUCGACUCUUGGUAGCGCUGCCACCACCGAUGAGAGGGGCGAACAGCACGGAGCCAACACCUUGCAGUGCCACCAGUUUGACUCCCACCACCAAGGCGGGUGGUGCCCCAAGGCAUCACCAUUCUCGUCGGCGACCCGCCUCCACUGCUGGUCGACAAUCUACCUUGAAUCUUCUUCUAUCCCGACAUCAAAAGUAAUCAUAUACACUCGAAUCCUUAGGCUCUACGCUCCUUCUAUCCUGACAUCAUAGGUAAUCGUAUACACUCGAAUCCUUAAGCCUAAGGUCGUCGGAGUCGCUGAAGUUAGAGUUGUUACAUGGUUGAUCAGUUUUAUCACUUCCUUGCUCUUUUCUUUUCUUUCUUUUUUUCCGUUCUCUUUCCUUUUUUUCAAAAAUGUAUUCCAGCAGUCUUCUACAGCAUCAUGCAUUUCUAUAUCGAGGGGGCUACGCAUCAUGCAUGUCUAUAUCGAGGGGCUCUCCCAUUAUCAGGUGUAGAAUGAGAGCCUCUAUUUUUAGACGGUUAUUAAUUUUAUUGUUCAGGCGGUGUCUUUGCUACCGUGUAGCUGUCAACAACGAUAAUCAUUUGGAGACCUGAUGACAGACUGGCUUAACAGCAUCACUGUUGGUGCUUAACCACACUGUCACUCUCGACGCAAAUGGUUGAGCCGUACGUGUGCGUAGCGAGAUAGAUCAAAAAGAAUCAAUCACCUUUAAUGGCCAAGAGAGUACUCCACGCUCCUCAACCCAUUUCACCACGUGCGUUGCCUGUUGCCCGCCGCCGCCCGGCCGUGACCGUGGACGCGCCGGGCGACCACCAAAUCCACGACGCGCCUCCACCGGCCGGCCGCACUUGCCAACGGACCACCGCCGGAAAUGCCCCACGUUUCCCACUCCCUCGCCCCCCACGCGGCCGCUGCCGCAGCUGCCUUUCCCUCCCUCCCUCCCUCCCGACCCCGAGACUUUUUAAACGCACCCAGAGGCAGCCUACUGACACCCGCACACUUUAUUAUACCACACCGACUGGCGCCAGCGCCACGGCACUCCACGAGUCAGCGUAGCCCGCGUCGUGGACCGCUAGUCUCCAGCACCGCCGACCCCGCCAGCAGAUCAAGAGAUGGCCACGGCGACCUACCUCUCCUUCUCGGCGGCGGCGCCGUCGUGGCAAGCCCGCCGCCAGCGGCAGACGACGCGGGCGGCCGCGUCGGCGACGGACCGGCCGCGCGAGGUGGUGUCGCCGAAGCAGCGGCUUCCGCUGCGGAAGGUGCCCGGCGACUACGGCCCGCCGGUGGUCGGCGCGCUCCGGGACCGGCUCGAGUACUUCUACGGGCCCGGCGGUCGCGACGGCUUCUUCACGUCCCGCGUCCGCGCGCACGGCUCCACCGUGGUGCGGCUCAACAUGCCGCCGGGCCCCUUCGUGGCGCGCGACCCGCGCGUGGUGGCGCUCCUCGACGCCGCAUCGUUCCCGGUGCUCUUCGACACCUCGCUCGUCGACAAGACGGACCUCUUCACGGGCACCUUCAUGCCCUCCACCGACCUCACCGGCGGCUACCGCGUCCUCUCCUACGUCGACCCCUCCGAGGCCAACCACGGCCCGCUCAAGACGCUCCUCUUCUACCUCCUCUCGCACCGCCGCCAGCACGUGAUCCCCAAGUUCCGCGAGGUGUACGGCGACCUGUUCAGCCUCAUGGAGAACGAGCUCUCCCGGGUCGGCAAGGCCGACUUCGGCCACUACAACGACGCCGCCGCCUUCUCCUUCCUCUGCCAGGCGCUGCUGGGGCGCGACCCCACCGAGUCCGCGCUCCAGGGCGACGGGCCCAAGCUGAUCACCAAGUGGGUGCUGUUCCAGAUCAGCCCGCUGCUCAACCUCGGCCUGCCCAAGCUCGUCGAGGACUCCCUCCUCCACUCGUUCCGCCUCCCGCCGGCGCUGGUCAAGAAGGACUACGACCGGCUCGCCGACUUCUUCCGCGACGCCGCCAGGGGCGUCGUCGACGAGGGCGAGCGCCUCGGCAUCCCGCGGGAGGAGGCGGUGCACAACAUCCUGUUCGCCAUGUGCUUCAAUUCCUUCGGCGGCAUGAAGAUCCUGUUCCCGUCGCUCGUCAAGUGGCUGGGCCGCGCCGGCGCGCGCACCCACGGGCGGCUGGCGACGGAGGUGCGCGACGCCGUGCGCGCCCACGGCGGCGAGGUGACCAUGAAGGCGCUGUCGGAGAUGCCGCUGGUGAAGUCGGCGGUGUACGAGGCGCUGCGGAUCGAGCCACCCGUGGCGAUGCAGUACGGGCGCGCCAAGCGGGACAUGGUGGUGGAGAGCCACGACUACGGGUUCGAGGUGCGCGAGGGGGAGAUGCUCUUCGGCUACCAGCCCAUGGCCACCAAGGACCCGCGCGUCUUCGCGAGGCCCGAGGAGUACGUGCCCGACAGGUUCCUCGGAGACGACGGCGCGCGCCUGCUCCGCCACGUCGUCUGGUCCAACGGGCCCGAGACCGCGUCGCCCACGCUGCAGGACAAGCAGUGCGCCGGCAAGGACUUCGUCGUCCUCAUCGCGCGCCUCCUCGUCGCCGAGAUCUUCCUCCGGUACGACUCCUUCGACGUCCAGGUCGGCGCCUCCGCGCUGGGGUCGUCGGUGACCGUCACCUCGCUCAAGAAAGCCACCUUCUGAUUCUGAGCUCUGCCUCUGAUCGACCGCCCGUCGAAGUCUCACCGCAGCAGGCGGCGUGCAGAUUUUUUACUGUAGAAUAUACUGCGCUGCCCCCUCUCUCUCUCUCUCUCAAUAUUUCUCCAAGUGUUGUGCUACUGACCUACUGUGUCAGUGUCACUGUAUGAUCGGCAGGCAUGGAUAUGGAAGUGUAACCAAAUUUCUUUUCUUGGUAAAACAAGAGAAUACUUUUCCCCAGGGACCUUUCCUGUCUCGAGACUUUAGGUCAAGAAAAAUUGCUAGUGAUCCGAGGGGGACAUGCACCUAUUGUUUCAAGCUGGCUGUCCAUGACGGACCCAUCUAGUAAUGGACCGAGAUUCCAGAGUAAAGUAGUAGGUGAACAGUGAUGCAAAUACCAUGUUCAUCGGCCGCGCUAUUAAUCAGUUGGAUGGGACUGCAAAUUAUUGGGAGAUGAUUAACGCCAAACCUACCUUGCACUUCAUUCUCUUGGGGUCCAUGACGUGCACUAGUUGCUGUUGCAACUUGCUUCAAUCGAAGUUGAUUCCUGAAAGUUGUUUGGUUCGGAUGCUUGGUUUGAUUUCUGUUGAAAUCUUCUGAUCAUGCACUAAUAAAGAUAAUCCAAAGUGGAAACCGGAUAAGCAAGCUCAAAGCCCAUGGAAUUGGCACUGCCCAUGCCCCAUAGGACACUUUCAACGUACGAGUCCCCAAAUGUGCUUAACCAUGGAGUAGCCAAAUGUGCGGCUAUUUGUAAAUUUUUAAGAGACAAAGCUCAAAUGUUAUCCGAAUUUCACACAGAAAAGCAUCUGAUUUCCCUAAGAAAGGGUAAAAGGUUCUGCACUUCAAAUACGGCAUAGAUCUGUAGGUCAUGGGAUCGCGAGCUUUCCUCGAAAGUGGUCGGCAGCUUUGCCGAUCAACAGGCCACAUGGACCGACCGGACGCCUCUCAAAAUAGGACCAACGAGCCAGCCAGCCCGAUCAUGCAUAGGAGCAUGGAGAACUCCGGCUGUAGCCGCAGACAUGAGGCAGUACGUGUAUAUGGGGCUUAAAUAAAAGACGUAAGGGUUCCAUACCAGUGCUGCCGGAGGUCACCUAAAAUGAACAGGCAUCACCGACGCAAACGCCUCGCCUAACAAUCCCACCCAUUUUCGGCUACUUUUUCAUAAAGGGGUACGCACUUGCAAAGAUUCGUCCACCACAUCCAGAUUAACCAGACCAAAAGGCAAAACGACAGAUAAGAAGCUUGGAAUUCCACGGUCAGAUUAGAGAUCACACAUUUUUUGUAAGCAACAUGCGUAACCACUCUAGCAGACCUGAAUUGACAAAGAUCUGACUCUUCGCAGCCACAGCUAUCAGUUACAAAAAGUAUUCUGAUUGAUGUCUCCAGGGUUCAAGUCUCACGGUACCUCGACUAGUUCCACAGGGAAAGAAUAUUUUCAUCACGUGACCACACCUGCAACUCACCUUCCAGGAUACUUCUGGUACACAACCUCAUGUACGAGUUCAACAUCCUCGAUUCUAAAUUCAGAAUUUUCCAUGAUGGCAACUUCACCUAUCAAAUAAUAAGGCAAGAAAACAUUUUACACCAACAGAACGGGUCACAAGAAAGUAGUGAUUAACAUCAGGACCAACACGCUUUAGCUAAACAAACAAUAACAUUUGGGUGCAACACUAAACUCUACAGAUGGAUAAAAGCUCUAGUUGAAACCAGGGUUGACAGUUGACACACUUUAGUUAAUUGAGCUAGCAUACCUACUCUCCUGGGCAAGUUAAAAAAAAACAAUUUCAGUAGUUAUACUAUUCACUAGCACCACUAUACCAAAAAUUCCCGCAUGCCGAUUCUAAGAGUUUUCUAUUGUGGGCAUGAGUUAUACAAAAUGCAUAAAAGAUACGGAAUCACAUCAGAUUGCCCCCAUAGAUCAGCAUCUUGAUGCAAGAUCCAACCUUUGCUUUAUUAAAUAUCGAAUCGUGGGCCACAUGGAAUGAUGUGCUAUUGGACCACUCCGGUUACCUUAUUCAUUAUGGUAACAUGUAGCCAUAGUAUUAUAAACGACAAGGCCAUGAAAACUAUUAACAACAUGGACAAUCCAUUGAUGGCUAUUGCUAUGUGGCUCAUGUUGGUUAUAAAACCAAAAUAUUCAAAAUUACGCAGCCCAAUAGUGUGCAAUACUUUGUCUCCACGCUCCACUGUCAUUAGUAGCUGUUAAUCAUCCACGAAGUUGUUCUAUUCCAGCAUAAUUCACAAAUUUGUAAAAAACUGAUUAACCAUUUUGUGCCACAAUUCUAUUAACUGAAAUGUUGUGCUUCCAAGAAAGGAUAACAGGUAAACUCAGCCCGAGUACUCGAGAAAAAAAUCAUAAUAGGAAUUUAAUUUUAAAAAGGUCCAUUAUGAUUUCUACUUAAUGCUGCAAAAGAAUGUUUCAUAAAGGCAGACUGUUUCAGUACAAUCCAUGGUGUGCAAUACAUAGUCCAUUGUUUCUUAUCUAGCAUUCAUGCCAAAGAUAUUGAAUGUAAAUGAACGGUAAUUUGAAUUUGUAGCCGAUCACAACAUGGUUAGCCAUUAUCUUAUAAUAACUCCCUUUCUAAAUACAAAAUUGACUUACCAGAUAAGUGCACACCACUAAAAGAUAGACAUAUCAGGUGGUGGUCCAUAAACUGAUUUCCAUGACAAGGGAACAGUCCAUCCAUUAGACCCAUUUCCUGUAAGCGCACAGAAAGAUCCAUUAAGAAGAUUAGCAAACAUUUGUUAUGACGGCAGAAUACUAAAUAGCAACAUUCCAAGAAGAAUGAAAUUAACAAAGCAAUUUAAAAGAGUAUAAAGCAAUUCCGCAUGGCCCUUUAGUAGUUUGACAAUAGAUGAAUAGAUAGAAAUACACUUUUCUUUUCUUUUUUCGGUGGCUUCAGUCAAAAAAAAAAGGGAUAAGUGUUGUGAUAAUAUAUAAAUGUACCAUGGAAUUUCUCAGGCUCAUGACCUAGAAGUUUACAUACUGCCUCAGCUAACUGGAAAGAUUCUGGCAUGUUGUCACCUUCUGAGCAGUAGCACAGUACACAAGAAACCUUCAAACCUUUAGCCUAUCACAAAUAAAGACAUAUUGUAACAGUGACUCCAACACUCAGUGAUAAAAAAACUUUUGAAGCUGAAACAAAAUCAGAUACCUUGCAGGCAGAGAAUAGUGCUGCAAAUGGCAAGCUCGCAUAGUAAUCAUUUAUUGUCAUCUCAUCAGUGUCAUCAGCCAUAUCUUCAGAAAAAUCACCACCCUCGACUAGGCCAGUAAGACAACUCCAACGCUUAUGAGAUAGGUCAUACUCCUCUAGCUUCUUCCACCCCAAUUUUUCAUAUUCUGAAUCAGAACCAUCUUCAUUGCAACUUGAAAGGUAAUACACCUGCAUGUCACUACAUAAUAAAACAAGGUUAACUAAUCAACUCACUCUUGACAGAGAACAUAAGAGAUCUGCUGCAGUUAGGCAUUUCAGUUACCUGGAUGCAUCAAUUACCCUCCUCUUGCCAGAAUCUAAACUUGAAAGAAUAACAAUAUGGUCCUUUCCAAUGGUUUUUAUGAAAUCAGCAACAUUUUUUGCAAAUGAAACCAUCAUUCCCUAUAUUGGUAACGAAAAAUUAACAUAGUCAUGAAAUAAUCAGGAACUAGCACUAAGACCGCAAGAACAAAUAAUAGGUACAGAAAUUAAUAUAGAAACAAGCUAAUGAAAACCUAAAUGAUGCCUACAAUUCUGAAUUUGCUGUGCCUCAACCUCAACAUAGAAAAGAAAAUGGAUGAACAUAACAGCACUAAAUUUUAUUUUAAUUAUUCCAGCGAUAGAGAUUACUAAAUGUUCCAUGUAGUUCCACAAGAAUAAGAAUUCCAGGUAUGAUGUUUGCAAAAGAAAUCUAAGUUCUAAUUUCAAUAAAGAAAGGGGUAUAUGCACAAUUUUCAUACUGUUCUGGGUCACACAAACUUAUGUCUAGACAGCAUUCCAGGGGCUCAUUAUCAAAAGAUGUAACUUUAAUUGGACGUGCAACAAUUAUGUUGCUUUCUUUGACAAAUUCAUUUCAAUCAAAGGAAUUUUGAUCUCCAGAAGAAAUAUGUUAUAAUGUAAAAGUUUGCAAGUUGUACGGUAUGAAGGUAACGAAGCAAAACACAAUUACUGUCUUGAUGUAACUGAGCACAGCAAGACGAAAUAAAGUUACAAAUACCAUGAAAUUGGUGUAGCAUCUAGUUUCUUUGUCUCAACCAAAGGAUUUUUAGAUGAGAAAAAUCUGUAUAUGUGAAGAAUAAAGUAAACAGCUUAGCUAAGACGAACGUACUGUAAUAACUGGAGAUCUUUGCUGAAUGAAAGACAGCCUAUGAGAUGUAGAUUCAUAAGCUGCCAAGAAAAAGACAGAAAGAUGGUCAGUUUGAAUUGUGCAUCAACACUACACGCACUGUCUCGUGUGUUUAUAACUUAAGGUGUAAGUAAAUUAAAGUAUCAAAAGGACCGUUCUACUCCAGCUGGAAGUCAGCAAAUUAUCCAUCGCACAACCUAUGGCACAGUAUAUAGGCUUGCAGUACCAGUAGAGCGGCAACACAUUUCAUCGAACAGUUGGUGUUCACGGGAUAAUGAGACUAGCAGCACAGGAAUGCAAGCAACAACGCUGACGCAACUCAUCAAACAGGAGGUAGGAAUAUCACAGUAGAGUCAAUUAGAAUCCAAUACCCAACCUUCGAGGGCGAGGGCGAGGUCACCGACGGCGUCGGGGCCGAAGGCGUCGUUGCCGGCGCAGGGCAGCACGGAGGGCUCGUCGAGGUAGGCCACCCGCCUCGACCUCGCCGAGGAUAUCAGCAGGUCGACGGCGAGCUGACCCACGUUUCCGAUCGACAGCGCCGGCUGCGACCGAGAAAUCGGAAGAUAUGAGGAGAAGGUACUAAAAAUUCGAUUCCAGCAAAUAUUCAGUGGUAGCUCGCAGCGUUAGGGUUUCGAACCAUGAUGAGCGUGGGGCAGGAAGGCGAGAACGACUCCCCCUCGACGACGGCGAACUCCAUUGCGGCGGCUGCCAGGCGAAGGCGCAGUGUGUCUCGGGCUCCGCGGCUGCCGGUCGAAAGCUCUCCCUUCCUUGAGCGAGAAGUUGAAUAGACGAUUACUACCGAGGAAGAAGAUCUCUCUGUCCUCUUCCACGUCUCUUUUGUACAGAGGAAUUUCAGAUUCGGCGUUUCAGGCUAGUUUGGGCCGUGGAUUCUUAUCUUCUUAGCGAAUUGAAGGUGACGACUCCAGUUCUGGGCCCAAUUGAGCCUGCCCAAAUUUGAGAAAUCAACAAAGGAAAAAAAAAUAGAGCCCCAUUUUAACAUGCCAACCUUCUUUAUUAUGAGAGGAAUAAGGUGUGGCUAGGUAUCAUCCGAGAGAUUUUCAUCUAACAUUUCACCCACAUUUUCGACCAAUGGAAGAGAGCCACGUCAUGCAACUAAUCCAAAAAAUGGCAUUUAUCAUUUGGCUGAAAAGGGCAUCCAAUUUCAAUCAAAAAGGUAACCAAUCAUACGUUUCAUGCACGGGAAGGAAUCUGAGUGAAAAAAGAAAGCAAAACAACCAGAUUUCGGUAAUCACGUUUCCACAUGUACUUGAGCACAAAAAAUAAGCAAACAUAUAUGGUGGAAAUUUACAAACCUCCACUGUGUGGCAGGUUUUGAGUGAGGGCAUGUGCCCUCACUAGCUCCAAUGUGGGCCCCGCCCCUGCUGGUACCUGUUAGUGAGAAAAACAACUUCCAAUUCAUGACAUAAAAAUAUAAAAUUUAUUUUUUCAAUAUUCCAACCAAAUAAAAACAAUGCUAGUUUGUCCUUAAGAGGUCUCCAAACCAACAAUUGAAAAUGACAACUAAUGAAAGAAUAAAGUAGAAGAGAAAUAAAAGAAAAACAACAAUAACACAAUUUUUUAUAUACACAUAACACAUUUUUAAUGAACGAAACAAUACCACGUCAAAAUAAGAUAAUAAUAACUAGAAAAAUAAAAAAUGAAUGAUACAAAAUACUUAAUAUAAACGAAAGAACAUACAACAAUAGAACAAGAUGAAAAAACAUUAUAAAAAAAAGAAAGAAACCUCCCACGCGAGAGCAGAGCAAACUUGCCAGUGAAGAAAGAACAAUUAGAUUUUUUCCAUUUGUGAGAUGCCGUUUGUGCUUGAUAGAAAAGACAAUAGCAAGACAUAUGUAUUGCCCCUUGCUCCCACUUGGCUUAUAGCUUCAUAUAAGAGUGGUUAAUUUACACGCUUCCCAUGUUGCUCACUAACUAUGGGAAGCGCAACACUUGCUCUCCACUCUAAAGUAAAAUAACGGCCUCCCUCAAACAUCAAAAUCACUAAUUGUCGUUCAAAUUCUCCUAUGGGCAAGCAAUAGACAAGCCAUUAUGCGAGUUAUAGUUUAAAUGGCACUCAACAGUUGAAUGACAUGUGGCUACUAGUAGCAAAUAACAUAUCUAUAAUGAGAAAAAUGUCAUGUAUAAAGGUUUUAUCAAAUGCUUCUAGACAUUUGAUAUUAUCUCACCAUGUACACCCUAAUGAAUCUGGGACAAAAUAAAUUUUACACACGAGAUUGAAUCAACAACACGAAAAAAAAAACCUAAGAGAAAAUAAAAAUGCUACAUCCGUCCAUCGAAAAAGUCAAAAUACAACUGGAUUCACCCCUCGCACAAAGUUAAAAAAAAAAUGAGACACCCACCAUAUGUUACAUUACCGUUCAAGCAACAAAUAAGAAAAGGACAACAUAAAAUAAAAUGGUCAGCACGCCAACGGCAUCUCAUGAAUUCAUCAACGGGCCAAUCAAACAAACAGAAACAAGCCUAGAAGUACUCUCUGUGCGACAUAAUCUCCAUCGGCUGCAGGGGCGGAGCUUGGAGGGGGGGGGGGGGGGGGGGGGGGGUGCAUGGCCACCCCUGCCAUUGACAAUCUCCGCUACAGAAACAGUAAAUCGACUACUGUUCAUUGAUUUUCAGAGAAAAUUAGUAUGCCUGGCCCUCUUGAUUAGUUGCUCAAGCAGACUGCCAGGGUAUGGGUAUGAACAACAGCUAACAUCAUGGGUAAACAAGAAAACAAAGCCACCAAAUCCCGAAUGCAAAUUAACAUAUCUGAGAUGCUAACCAAAGAAAUAUUCGCUUCGAUCGAAGACAUAAAACCCAUAUGAUACAGUUGCACGUCUAACCACAGUGGCACAUAAUUACAGUACAAAACACCAGCCGGCCCCCUUCCUCCUUCCGUGUAUGUACCGUGCACCUACCCUGCUGCUAUACACGCACCGCCGCGCUCUCCGCGACUCCGCCGGCCUGCGCGUCAAGCCGGUGCGAAACGGUCCAUGAGCAUGCACACCACGGAAUCCGAGUCGGAGAGCACGCCGCUGUUCCGCCUCCUCUUCUCCUGGACAACAACGCCCUUCGUCCCGCUCUCAGCCACGGCGCCAACGCCACCGUCACCCUGAUGGCUCCGGCCGGCUUCCACACCGACGGCCUGCGCCUCCUCAGGCCGGCCAAUCUUGGCGAACGCCUCCAGCGAGACACCAACCGCUCCAGCCAUCCCUGCACUCGUCUCAGCUGCGCCGGCCUGCUCUCACUCUACACACUAGACACCGGAAAGAACAAGGUUCUUGCGCUACUAGCUCCUUUUCCACUUGGCUGCUUUGGUAGCCACGAGGCUCUGGGUGCUCUACUUAUACGCGCGUCCGGGGCUCUGGAGGCGUGGCGUUCUCCACGACGGGCUACGGGGAGUGGUAAUCGUCGUCGCUGUCCGCUUCGGGGCCGGGGCCACGGCCACGCCCUCGCCUUCGCCCAUGUGACGGCGUGGCGCCCGCGCGGCCAUCGUGUGGUGGCUGGCCGCCGAGGGAUCCGCGCGCGGGCCGGUGAUGGAUAUACCGGUGCCAGCCGUGCCGCGGCCCCGCGCGGGCGGGCGAAGGGAUAUCUCUCCUGAUUCCGCGCGCGGAUGCGGAUCGCCGACCGACGGGCGGAGGCCAUCGCCAUCCGCUCCGUGUUCGAGUUCCGGCUUGCGUAGCGGAGGAGUAUUUGAUUCGGGGAAUCAGAUGGAGGCUCAACAAGCGGUCCGCGGCGAUGUACUGUUUGUGAGGUGCAACCGUGCAAGGACAUCCAUCUCCUUGCCACACGGUCUUGGUCGGAGUUUCACGGGAACCGCGAUGGCAUCCGCCCGUGGUACAUGCCGGCCGGAAGCCCGAAAACGCACAAGCGCUCUUGUGUUUUUACUAAAGUUUCGUGCAUUUGUUCGACUGCGUAACGUUAUAUGGGUUUCCCCUUGGUCUAGGGUAGCAGGCUAGUCGAUCGAUCAUCAAACUCAUGACAAUUAUCUCUUCCGUCGUAUGGUCAUCUCUGAGUUCCCCCGACAGGUGUUAAAACAGGAGCUGGAGAGUCAAGAGAUCUUCUUUGGAUGCUACGAAGCAAAAAUAUCUCCGUGUGUGUGUAAAGAUUAUUGACAAAUGACAAGUAUCUGAGAUCAAAUAUCCCGUUUAUAGUCGAGUGGUGGUGGUGAGUUUACAGCUCCCUCGCUUCUACUUGGAUCCUAUCGGUAUCCUCUUUGCUGUGUUCUAGCACAUGAAAACGAACUUGAUCUGAGGCAUCAGACCAUCUCGAUGUAUCAGUGACGUUCAGAAAAUACAAACAUCAUUUGAUGUUUCAGAACAUUGCAAGAAACUGCACAACGAUUACGUGGUAAGUGGUAACCUACUAUAUCUUUGAUUACAGAUUCGGUCAUAUAUGUUCAAAAGAUCUACUGCCCGAAGCAAUCGACUAGGAUGGACAAGAAAGCGUCCUCCUGAACGAACGCCGGCGCGCCACCACCAGAAGCAGCAGCAGCCUGCUUCUCGGCAGCGUUCAUCACAACCAGGGCACCGUCAGCCGCAGGCACACCAACUCCAUCGCAGAUCGUAGCGGCGCUGCUGCUCCCACAAGAUUGAGGCCGCCGAGCCGUGCCGCGUCCCUUCCGUGCGCCACCGGCCACCGACCAGCUGAACGCCUGUGCGCCCCUGGUCCGAGCCAUCCUCUCGCGCUCCAGCGUCCAAAUAUCUAUCAGGCUUGACAUCGCGAUCGUAGCAGCAGGAGAACUGGGACAGGCAGCUGAUGAGGUGAAUGCGAAGAAGCGAGAGAUUUGCCGAGGGAGCUACCGACGCGAACGGGCCGCUUAUAGCGGUGCCCUGCACAGAGAGUGCUCCAAGGAAUUGUUUGGAAUCUGGGGGUCGUUCCAUGCUCGGCACACAGAAUUGAAGCUGCAGCCGGUGUGAGUGAGAGACUGAUCAACUAACUGCGGCUUUUCAGUCUGCGUGCCCACAGGCAUCCGAUAUCCGGGGGCGUGUAGCAUAAGUCGGCAGAAAGUUUAGCCUGUCAGUUGCUAUCCGUAACACGCGCCUCGGCUCGAUAGGCCGCCGUGGCAGGCAGUUUCAAGCCCGGUGCCGAGCCAGUGGGUGGAUUCGUGCGAUUACCGUGGGCUCGAUGACAGCAGCUCCGGCAUAUUUGUCAGAGUCUCAUGGACUAUUCUGCUGCUGUUGCUAUCACUUCUGCUCCUGAAUUGCUUUCCGUGUGGAACGUUUUGCGGGUGUGGUUAUGCACAGUAGAAGGCCACACAUCCGGCGACUGGCCUGCAGCCUGGGCCGCAAAAUCAAAGUGGAGUAACAGCUUAUUAGAGUUGGUGAUAUCAUAUACAUGGAAGAGCGUCCGAAAACUAAAAUAGUCAUAACUCUUAAACUGAACCUUCAAAACAAAUUUUGAUUGUACCGUUAAAUUUUUUAUAACAAGAUCGUUUGUAGAAUAUUUUUUUAAAAUUUUUUUAGAUACAAAUUAAUUAGUUAUGACUACUGCGAACAAAUGUUUGAACACCACAAAUAAAUAACUAUGUUCUACGAACAAAAAAUUAAAUAUGUUGUGGAGGAAGCGAGGACUUUGGGUCGAGUGGGCUUCCAAGGACUCCGCUCGUUGAUGCAGCUUUGAGUACCUUAGGUCGUGGUGUUUCUUUUUCAGUUUGUGGUUUACAGCCUGACCAAAUCAAGUCUUUUUUCUUUUUGCGUGGUCGUGUAUCUUGGUUGUACAUGUUCAAACUUCUCCUUUUUAAUGAAAAAUGUGAUAUCCACGUCUUUAAAAAAAUCUACGGUAGAGAAUGGGUAGAGAAUGGGAAAAGGAGGGAAAAAAACAGAGAAGCAAGAAAGAAAAUUACCGUGGGCCUCUAGCUGCAUGCUGAGCCUACAACUCGCACGCACGUCGGCCUGCAUGCACCACCUAGUAAAGCAUCGCUCCGAAAUCAAAAACCACAAUAAACAGUAUAAUUGGGCCGAAAUAAUUAAUAGUGGGCCAAACUGAACAGGAAGCCGGACCAAGGCGUCGGACCGGUCCGCUGAAGGUGAUGACGGCACAACUGUCGCGUACGCGAUGUAUAUUCGCGACGGCCUUUUGUCUCUUGGUAGACCGAUGUCGCUGUCGUGGCUUUUGCCGCGUGAUAAGAAGCUUGGUGGGCCGCAAACUGGCAUGGUGAUUGGGCAAAACGCAUGACACGGCGGCGGCGUUGCUUGCUAGCGGAGGAAAAGCCGGAAACCCCCCGAAAGAACCAAAGCGCGUGGCGUGGAAGAAAGACGGCCGGCGCCGGUUGCUGCUCAGACGGCCAUCGCGGCAUCGCCUCCCGUAGCCCGAGGCUUCGUCCGCCGUUGCUAGUUUGCGACCCUAUCGGAAUCUCGAUGGCUUCCACAGUAUAGCACGGUGCUCCGGCCACGCGACCGGCUCUGUCGUCGUCCCAUCGCCUCCGGUAUGCUGCAACGCCCUCGUCUCUUGUUUCUUGAGCACGGUACGGUGACCGUCAGUCGUCUCGAGAGAGGACGCAACACAUCCAGCUUCUCUCUCAAGUUAUUUGAAUCAUGCGGCGGGGUACAAAUAAGCACCUAGGGAUGUCAAUGGGUGCGGAGGUGAGGUGGGGUGGAGUAAAAUUCCGCCCUCAACAAGACCGGCAACACUCGAUCGCACCCGUCCUCAGACAGACCCGUGGGUGAAACGACACACCCGCACCCGCACCCACAGGUCGCCCUCGGGUUUCGGUUCGCCCAUGGGUACAACAUACAAUAUAUAUCAACAUGAUCGCACGAUAUCAGGCAAUAUAUAAUGAUAAGAUGCAGUAGCACAAGAUGAUGGAGUUGGAUCUCUAGAUGCAGUAGCACAAGAUGCAUAGGAGCGGGCCACUAGACAGCGCGUCUGCUGGCUUCGUGCCUCUGCCUCCGCGUACAGGAGGCCAGGAGCUGGGAACUGGGGAUGGCGGCGUGGAUAAAGGGAGGGAGAGGGAUUGAGGGGAAGGGAGUGAUUGAGUGAGUGAAUGUAUAAUCUGGGAUUCUUAGGUUGGACCAAAUUCAUGGUACAAAGGAUCAUGUGUCAUGAGGUGAACUAGAAUAUACCUUGUUAUGAUGGGCCUCAUUGAGCACCCAUGGGUAAAAAUUCACACCCAUACCCAACCCAUCUUAACGCGGGGUCGGGUCAGGUCUAGACCCACUAGUAGAAUUUUGCACCCACGCCUGCACCCAUCGGGUGUGAAACCCACGGACGCCCGCAUCCAUGGGUCCGACUGCCAUCUCUACCUGUUAUAUCUUGGUAAAGUCCAAAAACAUAUGAUUCACACGCUCCCAAGGGAUCGAUUAAAGCACUCUCGAAACUUUAUAGAUUUCGUUCCUCCAUGCCAACUAUAAAAUCCAUGGGAUUUCUUCAUUCACUUUGAUCCAUCAACACGGUUAGCUGAGCGAAACCAGAAAGAAUUUGAUUACGUACGUUCCUUUUUGUCACAGGUAUUUUAGGCUAAGUUCUUCCGGGCGCUCCAUGCUCCAGUCCUGCCUCCCGAGGGAGAUCUCCAGGUUCGGCGCAUACAUGUCGUCUGCCAGCAGCUCCACGCUUGCAAGGGACGGAGAAGAAGAGCUCGCUGGGCUCGAGCAGUUUGUAGCCACCGCUUCAGAUCUUGCGUGCAGUCCCAUAGCAAGGUGACGAUUUACCUCUUCUUGAGCUGCCUGAUACAUUACCAUGACAAUACAUGCAUGCAUAAAUAACAGUUUUUUCCUCCAAAGGAAUAUAUGUGAAUGCCAGCACUAUCCCAUAUACUAUUUCAAUUCAGAGCGAUGAUAUACACUUCUUCAGAGGAGCAGUAUACUUUUUAUACUCCACGUACUAUAUGUCCUGAUAUCAGUAUAGUGUUUUUUUGAUAUAGUGUCAUGCCUAGUCAAACAGUAUAGUGCAAAAAGAGCUGCCAAAUCACGUGGCUUGCGUGCAUGGUGGAAUUACCACAGCCUUUUCGUUUGUCUGCAUCAGACACAAUAUAGAUAGUUCUUGCGUGUGCACGUACCUGGGUAUCUUGAAGCGCUGGUGGUGAGAAAUUGUGUUUCUGACACCGGUGAGCCGAGUCAACAAUUGCAGCACCUUUCCCCAGCACUCCUGGUGCGUGGUCAGUCCUGUGUGCUCAACAAAUUAACAGAGAGCCCUUAUCAACUCCAUGCACUCGCCAGUAGUACUUGUAGUAGCACACAAUGUGUUAAAAAAAAGUGAAACCCACUGUUAGCCAUUUAAUCCGUGGUCAGAGAUGCAGGUUAUCAGUAGUUGCAGCAGGGCUGCGCACAGAAGAUAAAAGUGUAUACAGAAGGUUGCGCAUCACUGCCAAAUACUUCGGAUUCUAAAACACGCAUGGUGCAUGCAUAUCUGCUUUAUCAUUGCAGACAUGCACGAACUAGCUUCCAUGUUUCCUUGUAGCUUUGCCCCGUGAUGUUUAGUGUUGAUGCACAGCGAAGGGCUCUGGUGCUGCCGCAUCUGGCGUCGUUGCUGUAGCAUAUGGGAACAUGCAUGCCUCGAUUUGUCCCUACCACGCUCCGCUGCUUGCAGAUGAACAGGAGGCCGGACGCCCAUAGGUCAACAACUUGGAAUACUGUCCCACUGUCUCUCAACUGAUCCAUAUUUGCGUGCAUGGGCACCGAACAUAACCCAGAACGGCCAGAAGCCAAGCCUGCAGCAUAUCGCAAGACCUCCGACCCAUGUCUAGCUACGCAUCUUCUGCCAUGGAUCCCCUGUGUGUCCUAUUGAUCUGCAGCAGCUUCUUUCUUUCCUCGAGAAACGUGUGGUUGGUUUGUACUUAACCUAGACUCACUAUGCUCAUAUUAAUUGUUAUAUUAGCUUCCAACGAUUUAAGCUGGUCAGGAGACAGAACUCCAUUCCGUCCAGCUGAAUGAUACAUGCACAGAUAGCUGGUGAGUUCUGAGGUCUAUGGGUCGAUUGACCAUAUGAUCGCAUCAGUGAACUGCGACCAAGAGAUAAGAGAGAGAGAGAGGGUGACAGGGAUGGUGAGCACCUCACAGCACGGAGCGUGAUGAUGGCUGGGGCCUGGGGCUAACGGACGCGGACGCGGACAAGGAGAAGCGUGCAUGGAUGCGUGACGACACGGGGAAGAGGUCGGCAGGGGGACAUAUGGGCUACAGCGAAAACACUUGUUGUCGCUCAGUCCAUGCCUGGGAUAAAUAUAUAUGCUACUCCAGAUUUUAUCAGAGAUUAGGGGGUGGAUCGAGAACUGAGGUGCAGUCUGGACUCUGGAGAGAGGACAUGCUCGCAGGAAAAUGGGGUAUAGUAAGCAUUUUUCUCCAUGACAUUCUAGCGCUGAAUAUUGCUGGUCAGCUCAAGUAUAAUAUUGAUGGAUUUUUAACAUGUAUAACAUAGAAUAAUAUUAAUUCGUUCCAUAAUUUUGUGAGAGCUAGUACAGUAAGCAAUGGUUAUUUGAGACCUUCAAGUGUUCCACUGACCACUAGCCAAUCAAUUUGACAAUUGCUUUUUCAAUCAAUGAUUAUUUGAUAAUAGGUUUUUUUGGGCAGAGUUUGACUACAAUUUUUUAAAGCUUCAUAUUUUAGCUCCAAGAAUUUAUGUCAGUGAAGUUACGGGCCGGAUACACCGAAAGUAUUUGGAUGAUGCAUCUUGUUUUUAUUACUUAGACUAGAAAUAAUGACUUAGCAAACCUGUAUUUUAGCCUACAAACUCUAGAUGAGAUGUGCAUGUGGGACUUGGGAAGCCUCUGGCAAACCGGGUCAAUUUAUAUAAUGGUGAGGCGCCUAUGAUAAAUGUCAAUAUCAAGAUCUAUCGAACCGAUCUCUCAUAGACAUGAUGUGUGAACGUGUCUAUGCCUGUGGUGGUGCGGGCGUGUGCAAGCGUCCUUCGAAGAACCACAUGCACCUAUAGGCUAUAGUAUAGUAUUGUUUUGAACCGAAUCCAUCUUCUUCUGAUACAGUAUAAUAUACAAUCUACUAGCUAGUAUAUUAUUCAUAUAUAGUGUACAAUAUACUCGGCUUACUCCAAGAGCAUCUGUAUCAUUUCUUUAAGCAGGUGAUCAGGCCUUUUGUUAUUUACAAAUGGCAACAAAAGAGUAGCUGCUGCAUGCGUCAAACAUAAGCACAUUUCAUGUGCAUUCUGCUUUUCUCCUCUUGUUAUUAAGAGCUAUAUGCCUAUAUCUAUACUAGUAACAGAUUCAAUAAAAGGCUGCAAUUUGACUAAGGCCGAGAUAGCAAAAUCAGUAAGCAUUAUCGCUCCUACGAAUACGAUAAAUAAAGAACAUAUAUGCAAACUGAUCGAGCUAAUUUGAGCAUACUCGAUCCAGAGAUUUUUCUAAUGCGUGAAAACAAAGUCGCAAAUCCUUGAAGCUUUGUGUGUGCACAUGCAUUGUUUUUCGAAAAUUUAAACUAGGCAACAUAUGCAGACCAAUGUUAACUCGUUGGUCAGAGCAGAAGCGACGACUGUAAAACCCAGUGAUAGCAGUAACAAUAGGACACAGAUAAGUGAUGAAUGAAGGUGACAUGCGGAGACAGACCUCGGGGGAAUGGGUGGAGGAGGUGGCGGUGCUGCCGCGAGUGGAGCAGUUGCUGGUGGCGCAUAGAGGAAGUGAGCAGCGGAAGUAGUCGCCGCAGCAGGCGGCGCAGAGCCCGCCGAAGGAGAGCUGCAGAUCCCAACCAUGUCGUCACAUGCUGCUGGCACCGGUACCACUACCACCCCACCCCCAGCAGCAGCACCACCUCCUGCUGCUGCCGCGGCCGCCGCCGCUUCCAUCCCUGUCGCCGUCGUCCUCUGCAGCGGCAACGCUUCGCCUGCGACCACAAUGCUCGAACGAUCGGCCAUUGCACGCACGGCAUGAAAUAGGACUACAUUGCACGUACGUCCAUGAUCUGCGCUAGCUUUGUUCGAGUUACAUACCUGUGGCGAUGUGUAACGAUCUGUCUGUGCUCUUCACCGUCCUAUACAUCUGCAAGUCAAGGGGAGGACGGAAACGGAUUAGUUAUCAUGAUGUUUUGGUUAGUUUUUUGUGUCGCGUAUGUGCGAGAAGGUGCACGAUAUGAUGAAAGUAUCAUGUGCGUCUUGUUUACUCUCUCCAUUGCGGCCAAGCUAGAUGCCGUUUGUUUGUCACCUAGCACUUGACCAAUGCAAGAUUCACCAGGGACAAAAGUAGUUUACCAGUAAGAAACCCACAAAAGUGGUGAAAAAAAACAAAAAGGAGCCAUCAUCAUGCAAAAAGAUUUACGAUGUUCUCAUUCCGUGUUUGCGUAUCAGUGUAUGGUGUUAGCUAAUCUAUAUAUGCCAUUAGUUUUUCUUGUUUUCUUUCUGCACGUAUACCUGAAGGUGGCUCUUGACAUGCGCCAGCGUCAGAUCCUUGACGUUCAUCAGCUCCAGCACCGACUUCGGAGUCGCUCCUGCCGGCAGUCAGAGACGGCGCGGCAGCCACAAGAACGGAUCGCGCACGCGCCAGAAAGAUCGUCAGAGAAUUGAGCAUAAAGAAUAAGCUUAUGCAGAAGCAAAAUAAGGGGAAUGCAAGCAUCUCAGAUCAUGCGAAAUCAGUGGCGCGAAUGCUAUAUAAGCUUACUCUCAUGGCCGCCGAGGAGCUCCACGGCGUGCACGAAGCGCGCGUGGAGCGCGGUGGUCCAGCGCAUCCGCGGCGCCCGGGCGCUCCGCUUCGUCGAUCCGCCUGGCAGGGACGCCCUGGUGGCAGCGCGCUUGAACGCGCAUCCCUGCGGCUCGAGGUGGCCUCGGCGUCCGGCCGCGUCGCCGCCGCGCGCCGCUGGCGUGCCGAGCCCCAGGCUGAGGCCCGGGGGCUCCGCGACGGGGCUAGGGUUUGCGAAGAACCCUACCUCGCCGCUUCCUUCAGCGUGCGGGGCCGUGCUUGGCUCUGCCAACGGAGGCCUCGCCACCGCCAGCGCGUCACAAGCAGCGGCUGACGAGGCGGCUGGUGGGCUUAUCCCGAGGGAGAGAUUCGGCAGGUUCCUUUGCAGCAUUGGAGGAUCUCAAGCAAUGGAAAGUCACAGCCUUGCAGCUACCUCAACGAUCAAAAUGGAGGACGGAAUCAAGCUCCUAGCCAAUCCACGACUUCUUGCUUCUUGGGAUCAGGCGAUCAUAUACUUGUUGAAUCAAGCGGAGGCCAUGGAGGGGUAGGAAGUAGUUAUAUCAGCGGUGGUCCGGCCGGUGAUCAAAGAAGAGGAAAGAAGGUAGUAGAAAGAGAGAGGGAGGGAGAGGAAAGGAGAUGAGGAGAGAGAUGGGCAAAGUCUGGACAGUGGUACAGUCACUGAGAAAGAGAAAGAGAGUGUGGGGAAGGGAUGGUGGAUUUGAGCAAAGUGGCAAGUGAAAAGGAGCGAGAGAGAGCCACAGAGGGGAAAGGAGAUGCUUAGAGCCUGGGGGUAGUGAUGAGGGGCAAAAGAAGCUGUGGUGAUUAGGUCAUGAGUGGUGUAUGAUUUGGUCCCUUGGGAAUGCUGCUUAAAGAAGGGUGUAGCAUGUAAGCUUUGGAGGGGCAGGGGCGCAGGGCGCAUAAGCUGAAGGCACUGUACUUGAAGGCCAUAAUGGUGCUACAGUCGCUGUUCCUGGCCGCCUUCAUGUGCAAUCUGACAUUGGAACGUAUGUACGGUGGUGGUAUGUGGUGAAUGUUCAAAACGUAGCUCGUCCCUCGUACCAUGAUGUUUCAGGUGGGCAAAUUACUUUAUACUCUACCUGUUGACUGGAGCUGGGAGAAGAGAAUUUUUUUUUUAUCAUGAAAAACAGCUUUUUCAAGAAAAUUUAUUUGGUGCUGCUGAUCACUUACCGAUGAAAAAACAUUUUGUUUGUUCAUGAUCUAUGUCGCCAUGUGAGAAGUGAACAAGUGCAACGUCAUGGUUUGACCGGGACAGUUCAUUCCACUACACUGACCGUUAUUUUCCCCCAUUAUAUGCUAGCAAUGUAUCGGUUUUUUUUUCACGAACUCUCAGAACAUAUUUCAUUAAGGGGUCGGGGAGGAGGAGCGUAAUGUUAGGUUAAUGAUAUGUAGGUUAUUUUGGAUGCCAAGAGGUACUAAAGUAAUUUCCAUGCAAUAAAACACAUCGGUGGUCAACAGUCUAAGAGCUGGACACUAUGUUAGUAGGACAAUAAAGCACAAUAGACAAAGUGUGUGGGCUCCAAUUCUGGUUUUCACAGUCCUGCCAGCAUAUAUUUAGUGUGGUUUUAGAUAUCCUAUCUAGUAGGAGUGCUACACAUAAGGGGCUACCAUAUAUGCUUAUUUAGCCAAAACCCAACAGUUGAUGAGUGAUUUUAGAGCGCUUGUCUAGCGCUUGACUUGAGAUGGGUCUUCUUAUCUGCUGGUGACCGGUGAGGGAGCGAGUGCAAGCAAGCCACUGAAUUGAAUAAACAUGGUAGGGUCUGAGUGUCUGACACCAAUCCAAGCCAGCCAGGGCUACCCAUUGUGCUAGCUGCAAAGAUAGGUCUCACCUUUUGAUCUGAAGGAUGGUCUUGGUCUGCAGCUGCAGUGCAGGACCAAGGAAGGUGUGUAAAACGGGCUGACGCCGGCCCCUUUGGGGGUGGACGUUUUCAGCAAAGCAGAAGCAUAAUGGCCCCCGGGCGAGGCCGCUGGGGAUCUUUCCAUAUUCAUGAAAGGGAAAAGGGUUCUCCCGUUCGAUCCCGUCCGCCGUGGCCGUGUGGGACGCCGGACGCUGCCCUGCCCGCUGCCCCGGCUGCAGGGCGUAGUGAAUGUGGCGGAAUGCGACAACACGGUGCGGAGCACUAGCUGCCGCGCGCUCUGCCCUGCUAGCUGGUACGAGCGAGAGCGAGAGGCAUGGAGAGUGACACCGGAGAGAAGAGUUGUUGCUUGCAUCGUCUAGCUAGCCAGGUAGCAAGAUGAUGAUGAUGGUGACAAGGUGUAGCCAUCUAUCCUUCUUCACUCGCUCACUCAGCAAGAACAAAGGCUGUCCUGUAAUGUUUCACAUAAACAGGAUGCAGUGGUUUGUUGCUGACAGUUGAAAGUGUCAAACAUGCCAUAUUUGGGGAACCUAAACACCGUCCGAGAAUCGCAAGCAUUUGUGAAUUGUGCGCCUGAAGAUAUCAUAGCAGCCGACGAGCAAUCCACCCUGCCGAAUCAGCACGCACGUGUGUCAGUCACGUGAGCGCGCGCAAGGGAUCGCCAAUAUACUACGGCCGAUCGAUCGCCCAGGAGAGAGAUAGCAGGGGGGCAAAAAGUACGGCUCCUACAUUCCGAUCUCGUCGUCUUCGCAUAACCUAAUCGCCCAAUCAGCCGCCUAAGCAAGCCCCCCCGGAAACAACCAUCGGAAGAGAACAACAAGGACUCCUCGCGGCACACGAAGGAAAAGGCGCCCGGCGCGGCGCAGUACGGCGACUCCGACCGCCCCGCGCUGGGCCGUAGCGCGGUGGCACGCGCGCCGGGCGCGCGGCCGGGGAGAUGGCAACAAGCCGGAGGAACUUCUCGAGGCGGCUAAACAAAUGGGGCGAGGGGAAUUUUGAUCCGCCCCCGGGUCAGCGCCUAACGCGGCGUGUUCCUCGCGCAAAAGGCUCGCGCGGCUUUUCGAUAGAUCGCCACUGCCGCGCACGGGCCCCCGUGCGCGCGCGUUUAAUGGUGGUGGCUCUUAGCCGCAUGCAUGCGCCUGUGCGCGCGCCGUGUUGGUAUGUGCGUGCCGUGAUCUUGGUCCGGGGCGCCGCGGGUACGCCGCUUGGCUUUCUUUACUCGGUGACUCGAGGUGUUGCGAGUCGGUAGCCCUGUCUGCCCCUGGCUGCCUGUAUGCAUGGCUGUGUGGUCGUGUCUAGUGGAGUAGUUGUAGCGUGUACUGACAGUACUGUACUUUUCCAGUCUACGAUGUCACGUUGUGUCGAGGAAUACGCUCGUACGUAUGUCGCCAAACCGAUGUGUAUAUGUACGUACAUGUACUGAUACAUAUGCAGGCCCUACGUGGACCUAGCUACUGCGUGCGAACACAUGUCCGGGGCAAAUGGCAUUAUUCCGAGCAGUCAAAAGUCGGUACUGAAAAGCGCUACAGCAGGGAGCCGCGGGGCCGACGACCCUGACUGCCGGCAUCUUCUCUUAGGUAAAGGUAAAAUCUAUGCGUGUGCUACAUGCAUGUGUUCACCAAGAGGCAACGCAAUAGCAAGCGUUGGGUUGGGCACUUGCGGUGUACCAAAAAGGACCUUGGUAGUGGGAGGACCAUACUAAAAUCAGAGAGCCGCUCGCUCGUGUUGACUCCACCGAUUAGUUCGAGACUCUCCGUACACACACCCAGAUGGCAUGGAUAUCCAGUCCAUUGUUUUUUCACUCCUGCACGCAUGAUGAUGGAUUAUGCGGACCAUCGUGCAUGGUGAUCGUGUGUCCAUCGUGCACUGGAGAAGAACCUGAGAUCCCAGGUCGCACGCUAACAAUGCAAGACUCCUAGGGGAGUAGCACACACGCCCUGCGCUACGUCGCAAUCGUCUCCCCCCAAUUAUUCGCGCUGCGCACCGCUGCACCUGCACGUACUCGAUGGCGCGCGUGGACCUCGCCUAGGACUAGGAGCCUUGUGUGGUCUCCCCCUUGCUCUGCGCCCUCUCCUUCCUUUCUUCGAAAGCCGCAGUGGUCGGUGCCGGGCAGUGGGCACGUACUGCUGGUCGAGCGCGACGUGGUGGUGGCCGCCUCCUCCAACCAAAAGCUGCCGCGCCGAGCAGCCCCGCGCGCAUGUGCCCAGCCACACACGCAGCGCGGUGGGAGCGCAUGAUUGAUCGGCCAGCUCGUCCGGCCGCGGUUCCCGGCGCGGAGGCGUCCAGCAACGGCCAGCCGGCCGAGGGGACCGUGGCCCCGGGGCGUGGCCGCGUGGGGUGGUUUCGUUUUCCGGCCGUUUCGGUGGGAGGUCGCUGCCUUUCUCCGCGCGAUCAUUGCGAGUUUCGCUUAGCUUACGUUUUGCCGGCUCGAGGGGUCGCCGCGGUGGGCGGUGGCCUCAGGAUGGACGGGCCGGGGUGAUUGGGGCGGACCACGACCCGGAAAUCCAUGAUGAUUUCCCCACCACUGCUGGUGCUGGUGCCUGGUACCCUGACGGGUUUUGGGGGCACGACUGCGCUAGCCGAACUACGGUGUCAGCUGACUGACGGAAGCCAGGCGAGCAACAGCGGGUGUGAGUGUGUGACAAGGCCACGGAGUUUUGUUGGGUUGGGGUGGUCAUGCGUUACGCGACAACAGGCGCGCGUCCAAGGAGUAGCGGCCGAGUUGCAGGAGAGGAGCUGUUCGUCAGGUGUUUCGCAGAAGACACGUACGUUGCCAUGGACCGUUCUUCCGAGCCCAGCACUGGCUUUUGUUUUCCCCAGACCCGGGUCAAUUGUUACAUUCAGUCCCCAGUGCGGGUACGGGUAAGCAUUUUUCAUCAGGGUAGCCAACUUUUUUGUUUUCGAAGGAGCUCAACACCCGAUUGCCCGAUUGUACCACAAGAACAAGAACAUUGAAGAACAGAAAAAAAGAGAGUAGAAUACAACAAAGGAAGUACAAGUUGUUUACCUCGAUAGCCUUGAAACCUUCUCGAUUUGUAUCUAUCUGAUAUUUUGAUGAUCUGAUAACACGGUAAGUCUUCGGUGAUGUAAUGUUGUCGGAUGCCCAGUUUCACAAAAGAGGCCUUUGUGCUACGCAAGUUCAGGCCCAUUAAUUAGCCCAUCACAAGUACAAAAGCCCAUUAAUUCCCCAACAUACUUAGCUCGACCUGGUCCGACUCGAGCCCAGUUUUACCCCACAGCGCGUCUCCCCCAAUCGUCUCGCACGUACGGUCUCAGGCGCCUCGGCCUCGCCGCUGCACAGACGCUGGAGACGACGGCGGCGGCGAGAUGACGGUGUUCCACUUCCUCAACUGCGCCUUCCUCACCUUCGGUCCCCACGUCGUCUACUACUCUGCCACCCCCCUGUAACUCCCUUCCCUUACUUCCUUUCUCUCGUGCUCUCUCUCUCUGAGAUCCGUAUGCUAAACACGCGAGAUCUGCGUGUGUUGCGCGAUCUGGGAGCUUUGCCGCGUGAUCUGCACCGAGGAGCACGAACGCCUGAUGGUGCGCGUUCUUGAUGUGAUCCGGGCCUGUGGGAUGUGGUUUUAGUCAGUACAAUUGCAGUGAAUUUUGCUCAGUUGAGUUGGGUUGGCAUGAGACACUGAGACAAGUUCCGUGUGUGCUGGCUUACUUAUGUUGCACUGUUCGUUGGGAUUCAUAGCUUAGCUUGAGUGGAUUGUGGUGUUCGAAUCGAAACUGGUUAGCUGACCAUUUUUACUAGCAGUACCUGUUACGUUAACUUCAUGCCUACACUCUUUUGUGUGUUGGGAGGGGAAUAUUAGGUGGAAGAUGCUGGUGAGCUGCACCAAUAUGAAAUGAUGCUACUGACUGUAUGGAAGAACACUUCAAUCUUGUGGAAGUAAAUUCUUAUUGGAUCUAUAUUGCCAGUAGAGAGUAACCACAUGAUAAUAAUAUAAAUCUGUCAAGUGAAUUCUGGAGGGGAAUGGAUUAUUCAAACAACGUAAUAACAGGGUGACCAAGUAAAUUAUAUCAAAUGGUUGUUAGUAUGGCCUUUCUGUCGGUGUUUCGUACCGCCAACUAGUGAUCGUACGCCGCUCUCUCCUCACUUCCAAUGGCUAGCACACAAGAGACAAGGAGUUAUACUGGUUCGGGAAGAUCCUUUCGUCCAGUUUCGGCAGGAGUCGUGUUCCUUGGAUCAAGCGCACUGGGCUUACAACAGGGUGCUUGCAAGCAAGCGUUCGUGCGAUGUGUGGCUGUAUGCGUCGAAUGCGAGAGAGAGUGAAAGGAGGCCUGGUUCCCUUUAUAUAGGCUAGGGACUGGGCAACAGCGUUGAGAAAUGGAGGGGGUCCCCGACCUCAGAGGUUGGGGGUUGUGGCGUGGUCAGGUCUUCCUUGCACCAAGAGGCCUCCUUGUCCUGUCCCGUUGGCUGGUCGUGGGUUUCGCACGCCUUGUACGGUGGCUUCUGCGCCGCGUGGGUGCUUACGCACGGCCCGACCUACUCCGUGGCGUGCUCCUGUCCUAUCCGUCAACUCCGUGGUAGUGAACGGGACGGGUGCUGUUGCUGUCGUCCGUACUGGUGAUGAAUGGGCGGGCCUUGAUUAGUGGCCUGGACGGGGCGUGCCGCUCGUCCCGGCUUUCCUCGACCUCUUUAGUGUGCUCACGGCAGCUCCUCGCCGUAACGUCUGUCACUGGGUCCCACCUCACCUGCGGGACAGUAUCGGGCCUGGCGCGGUGGCAUGGCCUUGAUCUUGACGGGUCUCGUUGACGGCGAAGGCGAUGAUGACGUCGGGGCGUGGGCGUGUACGGCCGCGCGUUGCCUCAUCCUGCAGGCGGUCUGAAGGGUGUAGCCUCACCCUCAGACCCCCUGGUUAAAGGUCAGCUCCCCUCGCCUGGUCAUGUCUCCGGCGUGGGGCAAUGCCUCUUGUAUAGCGCAGGUCUUCCUGAGUCAAGGAGUGGGUAAGGCGCCGUGGGCCCCUUGCGGGCCCCGCCCCCGAGCCGGUUGAGCCAGCGAGUCAUGGCUCUUGGCUUCCGACCAAGGGAGGUUGGGUGGUGGGCUUCAACGUCGUCUGGGCCAUUUCCAGGAUGCUUCUAGCUGUUGGUCCUUUGGCUUUUUGGUGCCUGGUUGCCUUAAGCCCCGUUCCUGAGGGUACCCCGAACCUGUCACUUUCUUUCUGUAGUUGCAAGGUUGUGGUGCUGUUCUUUUUUCAGUGGCAUUAAGGUCUGAAUAUCUCAUUUCCCAUCUAAUGCAACGGUCACAUCCAGUUCAACUAAACCCUGCUUAUUUUUCAACUGUCACCCACUUGAGCAAUGAGAGUGUCUACCCAUGAUCCAUGGAACAUUUAAAUAAGUUAGAUGAAUUCUUGGCCUAGUUUUAUCUGAAUGUAUACCCUAGUUGACCUAGUUUAAUCUGAGCAUAGAUGAACACACUUCUGUAUCCAUAGGUCCCUUUUACUACACUUUCUUAUCCUUUCAUUUGUUUCAGGUCAGAGUAUGAUACAAUCGGCACUUCUGUAAAAGCGGCUGUUGUUUAUCUUGGAACUGCACUUGUAAAGGUCAGCAAACAGUCCAGGAUUCUUAUGUCUUCUGAAACUUAAAAUGAUAAAGGGUUUACAUCUAGUGCACAAUCAUGGGAAAACAGAUCUUUUUAUUUGGGCAGCAAAUAACAUGAAGAAUUCCAGAAGGAAAAAACAAAGAGAUGUGGAUUGUGGAUUACUGAGUUAUUCUAGAACCUUUCAACAUUUUCAACUUCAAACUAAAGAUGUCAGAUGAAACAUAGAUAAGGAAAAAAAUUUGCAAGUGUACUGUGGACACUGGAUAUGUAAUACCAGCCCCUUUUCCCUUUGAUUUAUCUUUGUCAUAUAUUCACAUUUUUACUACUCUUAUGUCUUGAUAUAGAGUGGCAGAACUCAAAACGUUGUACAUAUGUAAAAUAAUUUGAGGGGCCUAUGCCUAGUUUUUUGGAUUUCUUUUGGUGUUAGUUUGAUAUAUGAGAACUGUUUUUUGUCAUUAGUUCACUUAGUCAUGCUUUGGCAUAGAUACCUCACAAUAAGAAAAUUUGACUGUACCAUGAUUCUUAAGCCAACUUAUUUACCAUUCAUGGAUAUCAUGUUCUCCAUUUGAUUUUUUUUCUAGUUCAAAUCAUUUAUAUCAUGUUAUCUUGCCUCCUUGCAUCUACCUUUUCCGAUUCAUAUUUUCCCUGACACUAUGUUUUCCUUAGUAAUAAGUUUAACAUAAUUCUGCAACAUUUAUGCACACUUUUGACUUUCUGAAAUAAACUUUUGCGUUGGGGGUUAACAUGAUGCAUAACAAACAGCUUUUUCUUUGACUGCUAUUAAAGAAAGUAGUGAACAUUUCUUGAAUUCAAUUCUUUCUGCAUGGUAUAAACUGGUAUUGCUCCCCGUUAUACAGUUUUCUUUGUAUUGUUAUUCUUUGAAGAAAAGUGGGCAAGUUCAAACUUUUCCUGUUCUGAUGUAUCCAAGAUAAAUUGUUUGAAGUUUUUGUACUUAAUUUCAGUGGAUGGCAUUACCUAUUGUCUUCCUUGCCAUGCUAUAUUUCUAUACCUACUACUAUCAUGAUCUACUUGUGACCAAAGUUAAUGAAUUGGUUGCUAACAUUGCUAUAUCGUAUUGGCAGCUUGUUUGCUUAGCAACAUUGCUCAAAGUACCUGAGAAUGAUAGCUUUGAUCCCUAUCAGGUAUAUUUGCUUUUCUUGGCACACAAAAUAUACUUUGAUACCAUGUUCUUGGCGUCCUCUAAUAUAUCUUGUUCUUUCAAAUUGCAGGAGUUAAUGAAAGUUUUUAUUGGGUUCAUUGAUGUAGCUGGACUAUAUUUUGCUCUGACACAGUUGACUCACAGAAACAUCUCUCAGAAUCAUAAGUUCCAGGCUGUUGGUCUUGGUAAGUACAGAGUUCUCGCUGACAUUUGAUUCAUGUCAUCAAACAGCGUCCAUGGGGAUAUUUAUUCUUGCAUCUCCAUUCUGUGCCUUUCCUAUUUUUCCUUGCGUACGAUGUGCUGAAAAAUAUCUGCUUAGCCUUUUCUAUGUGGCCAUCUUGAGUUGCGCUGAAUUUAGUUUUCCAUGAUAUGGCUUUGGCUUGGAUACAAAAGCGCACUUAGACUUAUUGGUUACUGACAGUGGUUACCAGAAAUUCAACAGCAUGUCCUUUUGUUUGUUGCUCUGCAUAAUUGUGGAAGAAUGUUUGGUUUUGUACUUUUCCCAUCUAAGAUAACUUUGUUGUGAUUUAUCAUCGAUGUGUUGGUGUUUUCAGGUUGGGCUUUUGCUGAUUCGGUUCUGCACCGACUGGCACCUCUGUGGAUUGGGGCAAGAGGGCUUGAAUUUACGUGGGAGUUCAUAUUUCAAGGAAUUGAAGCAAAUGCUAAUCUUGUAUGCCACUCCGUAGUGUCAGAUUCCUUGUUUUGAAGAGACCAGCUUCCUAGUGCUACAACUCAUCAUGUUUAUUUAACAUAGUUGUUGACAAGAAGACUGCUGAUUUGUGUUUCUCUACAGGUGAUGACCCUCUCCCUUGCUGCAUUGGGAUCAUUGAUGUGGCUUAGGAAGAACAAGCCUAGGACUUUGGUUCCAAUAAUUUAUGCAUGUGCUCUGCUCUUGGCAACAAUGCCAUCUAUCACAAGGUAAAGCAUCCCUAUCAUGCUCCACUUUGUUUGUGUUCUUAUUUCCCCCUUUUUCUGAAAUAAAAAUGUUUUAUUAUGAGAAAUAAUAAAUUUAGAUGUGUGUGUCUACUUUUUGCUGUUACCUACGUCUUUAUUAAAUUAUUGUGGCGUUAUAUGUAUUAACUUGAGAUAAAGGCUCUGUUGCUGCUGCUACUAAUUUGAACUGGGGAAGAUUAUCUGUUCAAUUAACAGCGUGCUUUACACCUGACCAAUUAGAUAACCAUGGUACUUGAUGUCCAAUUCAGAACAAUUUUUAUAUAUUCCUUUUUCAGAUUUUCCUUAACCCUUAACUGUUCGCAAUUUAGAAGUCCUAAUUUUCCUUGUCCGUUGGAUGCAUAAUCAUUUUGUGCAAGGUCCCAUACUCCCAUGAAUACCGUGAACCUUUUCUCGCACUAGUUGUGAACCAAACUAAGUGUUUGAAUUAAGUAUCCAGGCAAAUGCUUUGUUUUGAGUUUUCUGUUGAAUUCCAGUAUACGAGUGUGUAGGUUUGGUAAUUGAUCUUAGCCUUUGGGGGGUUAUGGUAUUUCACCAGUGAUCGGAACAUAUCAUUCUUUACUCGUACCAUUUGAUCUGAUUAUUUAGUUGCUUUGCUGUGACUUGCACGUUCCAUGCUUUCUAGAUAUUUCGCUUAUUGUUUACUGGGCUAAACAUGCUCACCAAUAUCGCAGUUACUUGAGAAGAUCACUGGAGUGGCAGACACCAAAGGUGGUUGGCUUCGAGCUAUUCUCCUCGCUUGUUAUGGCUUUCAUCAGCUGGCAGCUGUUCUCGGCUUGUCAGAGACCGAUGUAGUGAGUCGACGAUAGCAGUCUCAGUUUUACCUACAGUUUGACGCUCUUGAAGGUGCCUCCUGAUGUAUGUCAAGAAUUAGGAUGAUCCUUGAGCCCUUCCGCUACAAAGCUUUCUUCGUCUUUGAUUAUAGAACAUUUUACUUAGAAUUAUCUGUUGUGAGUUGCAGAGCAGAAAUCCAUGCCUCAAAUGAGUGGUUAUGUAACAGAUGCUAUUCAAGGCAUUUGAGCGGAAAGAGUUUUCUUUUUAAUCUUGCUGUGCAUUUCAUAUCCUAUGUUUGAGUCGCAUCAUCUAGCGUAUAGAUCGUAUAAUUCAGUUAUCUUAUCAGAAUGCAAGAAUAAAAGCAUUGGUUGCAUCUCUCCCUCCUGCCACUUAGCUGUACAUGAUUUGAUUUGCAAGACGUGGAUGUGUAUGCACUGUGAUUUCAGAGUCGCAGAACUGACUGGAGUCCUUUUAUAUGUGAACACCUCAAGAUCAAUUGCGGGCCUCGACCCCAAAAACAUGUUUGCACGGUAUUCAUCAAUUGUCAUGGAUACAUACCGAAGUAAAUUCAAUCAAAAACAUACAUCGCGUUUUAUAUAUCACGGUUUAUAUGAGGCAGCGGCGACAGAUUGGCUGCUGCUGCUACCAGGGCGGGCGCGCGCGUCCAUCCCUACUCGGACUC